CCUCUACUGGUGCAUCACGAAGCAAAAUAAGAAGGUACCUGCCAUUUCGUCAACAGCAUAAGCAAAAUGUUACAUUGUGUAGCUAAGGAAGUUAUGAAGAACAAUAACUGAUGCCGAUGAAAGCAGGGGGGAAGAAAAAGAGCACUAAACUAGAAACACUUGAUCAAAAUAGUGCAAUUCACCAUAAAAAAUUAUAAAUAUUGUACCUAUAAAAAGACGAUGAAUUAUAGUAAAAAGUGAAUACUUCUAGUUUCUUUUUAGUUGAGUAUCUUAAUAAAUUUGAUAAAACCAAAAACAUGACACAGGACGUAAAGGACUUAACAAAUAACCAUAAAUAAAGAAAAGAAUCUAGGUCUGAAGUCAACCUUCCAGAGGAAGAGGCUCUUAAGGCUCUUAUGGGUGCACGUUCAGGCUUUUGCAAAACCCGGAAUUGCCUAUUUAGGCCACUUCUAACACAGGUCACAAUGAGCCUGUUGAUGAAACCUCCAGAUUUUUCACUCACCUAGAUCAACAAAGGUAAUGCUACAUAUUAUGAUCAACACAGAUUGAUGAUUAUUUAUAGAUAGAAAAAAGACAAAAAAUAUACUAAUCAAGGAUAAUGCUGAGCAAAAAUCACUAACUAGUAGAUGCAAUCAAACAAUUGAUGUGAUGUUUGAAUUCACCACAACCUACCUGACUGUAUGAAAAUGAAACCAGUCUAGAAUUUCCAAGCCAUCGUAAUCCCCUAACAGUACCAUUAUGAACAGAAAAACUUGCAGCGACAGCAUUGGCAGAAACAUCAACAAUGUCAACUGUCCCACUUUGAGUUCCCAAAGCAACCAAUGGAACAGCUACAACAGGAUAGUUUCCCCCACCUUCAUACAUAAUCAACUUACAUGGUAUCAUAAUUUCUCCCAAAUGAUGCUAACUCAGAAAUAUUCUUAAAAUAUAAAAUCAACAUAUACAGUAGAUUAGUGACAAGAUUUACUAACGGCCCAGAGUAGCUGUUGAAGAAGGUGAAGGAACAGCCAGCAUAGUCACUGCUGAAGAAAGGAGCUGAAGCUGUCCAACUAAGCUAAUCUGCAUCAGUAAGUUGGCUUUGUAAGCAUGCAGGAAUUUAAUUUCAAAUCUUCACUAUCAGGGAUUGGUUGCAUGGCAUUUUGGAUGAACUGAAUUUAUAGCUAUAACAGAAAGAAAAUAGAAAAGAAAAGACUGGUAGUCCAGUCCUGUGAUCCUAUUUCUACUGAAGCAACAAUGCACAGAAUGGGAAAUAAAAAACAUAUAGAUGAAUGGAAUUUACGGCAAGGUAUAACAAAUAGUACACGAAAUAAAACCAACUGUGUUCUGAACUACAUGCAACCAUCAAAAACAUAUGAUAGCGCCUGUGUACAUUGUAAGGGUGGGGGUGUGUGUCCUUUUGAGGAUCUAAACAAAGUCGUAUACCAACUAAUACCUAGAUAUUUUUAAUAAGACUGGGUGUGGGAAUUACAUCUAGUGAUCCAAGUCACAUCCAUUGUUAGUUACAUUAAAUUCUCAAGCCCAAAAACCAUCCAGUGAUAGGCAUUAACCAUGAAAAAUUAAAAGUUGGAAAAACUACAAACGAACCUUAAGUACCAAGUCUGUAUGGCUGACAGUAGAAUUUGAAGAUCGACCUCUACCACCGUUGAUCUUUUCUAUUUGUUUGCCGACUUUCAUGUCAAGUCCUCCAGUAGAAGAAACUAUAAUGUUCGUAUUCGUACCAGGAACUGGCACUUCACUAAUACCCAAGUUUGUAUCAUCCUUUCGAUUAUCUUCAAGCCCUUCAGCGGUCAACAGCCAGUUCCAUAUUUUUCCAUCAUCAGAAAUGGAGAUCAAAUGCGUUUUAGAAACAAGAAGAGGCUCAUCACAAAAAUCAAAAGGAUUAUCGAAAUCCACAUCGGGGAAAGGAGAAUGAGGUACAUCAGAGUAAAGCUUGCCGAUGUUCUGGAGGGUCGAAUCUGAUUGGGAGAUGACGAGAGCAAGCACCAAAGGAGAUGGGACAGAUGUGCCAAUUGACGGCAUCAGCUCUUCCAUUGAACACAUUAUGUGCACCUGCCCUCCUCUGCACAUACAUACAAUAUGCAUAAUAAGAUGAAUAUACUACUACAUUUUGGUUUUUCAAUCUAAACAUUUUGUAAGCUUUGCCUGAAAAUGGUUCAAAUGCCUAUAAAUUCCUAUCCAAUUUCACAUUCUACAUCCUACAAUUGAUCAAUUGAUAUUGAAAAAGCUGCAAUCAGUCGAUUUUUCGAAAGACUCACUCUUUUCGCCGCCAAGUACUGAGCUUUCCAUCGAGAUGAGCGCAGUAGAGGAACUCAUAAUUUGGAUCCGGCAGCACAUCGAGAAACUUGCCGCAGCCACGAGGCAAUGUGGCGGAGAAAAGCGGCGUCUCGUACUGCAAAUCGAACACCACCAACUCCCGCGGGAACGUGACGAAAAGAAUGUGCCGCCACUGCAGCGAGAACGCGAACCUCACGGCGUAGGUCGGGAACACUGCCGAGGCCGACGACGAGUUCCCGGAGACUCCCCCAGCCAUGUCCCUCUCCAGCUUCAGCAACUCGGUAGAGUCAGUCCGAAUCUGAAACUCCUUGAUGAUGACAUCGGAUUCCGUCUCACCCAACACGGUGACCGAGAGCAGGAAUCCUUUGAGUCCGACUACGCAGAAAUGGCGCGAAUCGAAGGGAUCACGGCGGAUGCAGGAGAGAACUUCGGGCGCGGCGUCGUAUUUCCAGAAGCAUCGGCCGGUGGAGCUGUUGUAGAGUGAGAGGGAGGAGAAUCCGGAGAUGGAGGCAAGGAGGUAGGAGUCGGGUCGGGCCUGGACCCACGCGAGGUCCUGGAUGGCGAGUUUGGAGGGGGAGGAGUCGGUGUCGAACCAGAGAAUAGGGGACUUCAGGCGGAGAUCAAGGAGGGCGAUGCGGCCCUGGCGGUCGCCUGCGGCGAGGAGGAGGUGGGAGCUGGAGGGCUCGGUGGAGAGGAGAUCGCGGCGGAGAGGGAGCGGGGUCCAGCGGACGGAGGUGACGAAAGGGGAGAGGGAGGAUGAGGUGGAGGAAGAAGAUUGGGUUGGAGGGGGCAUAGGGAUGGUGACGAUGAGCUGCAUUGAGCGAACGUCGAGGACGGAGAUGGAGCUGCCGGAGGGGAAUGCGAGGAGGCCGGAGAGGCUGAGGUCGGCGGAUCCGAAGUUGUUGCGGCUGGGUGGCCCCGGCAGCAUGCAGUCCCAGCAGUCCUGGACUGUAGACCCCGUCGAAGCUCUAGGGCUCGACAUUCUUCCGUUUUCUGUCCGACUUUCUUCGUCUACCGCUGCGACUGCGGGUAUGUCGACAUUUCGGACACAGCGAGAGAAGAACGUUCGCCGUUGUUUUUUUUUUUUUUUUUUUUUUAUAUACAUAUUUUUUCUUUUUUUUGUCAAAACACAUUUUUCUUCAUUUAGUUUUUUUUUUUUUUUAAAUUAUCUACCCGCACACAAGACACACCCAACACAAACCCUAAUUUAGGGUCUUAAAAUGAAUCAACUAUACACUAAUUAUUAUGAAGAUUCAAUAUUCUGUUGAGGAAUGUAAGACGUAUACUCACAUUAAAAAUUUGAUAGAACAUCACACUUGUCGGAUUUUGCAAGUAAUUAAGUUAUAGAUUUAUACCGCGACGAUUAUAAACUUAAUUCUAAAAUGUUAAAUUUAUUUCAGUCAUUAGUAGUCAUAAUCGCUAUACAUGAUGUGUGUUGUUGAAGAAUGGACGCACCACUUUGAAUAACAUGUCGGUAUUACAGAAAUAUCAUCAGGUGUAGACCUAUCAUGCAAAAUGAGCUCUAGACAAAGGCAACCAGCCAAAGGACUAUCAUGAAAAGAAACAUGUGUAGUUGUACUUGAAAGUAAGUUGGCAAUUCGGACUGCUCAGAAAUUUGAAAGAUUGGAUGUGCACACAGCAGAAGCAGAAGGGUUUCAACCUACUUUGCUUUGGAAAGAUAUCAAGAUUGUACGGCCAUUUUCAAGAGACGACUACACAUGAGAGAACCGGAUUCCCUCCGGACCCAAGGGAUUUGAGCCCAAGGUAUUGAGGCAAAUGCCUCAGCAUCAAAAGCGUUAGUUUGUUAUAACAGUAAAAUGUUAGCUGAGAUGAGUAGUGGUACAACAUGUAAUUAGUUAUAGUUAGCUAAGUGUAUUGUUGUUCCGAACCAAGGGUUGCAUAUACUCUUCAAUGUAAUAACAUUAUCAAGUAAUGAAAAGUAUUUCAUCACAAUUCUCUCUCUCUCUACAUUUCUCCUUCUUACUCUAACUUAUUUCUUACUUGAGAAGAUAUUGGUUUCUACACAAGAAUCAAAUUAUUCGGGUCAUUGAAAUUUGAUCUAACGGCAACAAACAGGGGGCUCCUUUAAAAGUUAUAAUAACUGUAGUCGUUGGAUCCAAUUUCAAUUGCCCUUAUCAUUUGAUCCUUAAGCUCAGUUCCUUUGGGUCCAGAGGGGAUCCGGUUCCCACAUGAGAGACAUGUAAGUGUGGUUUCAUUGCAAAUUUGCAGUGUUCACCAAACCACUAAAAGGAUGACCUAAGCCAACAAGGUUUUGCGGUGUGCGGGGUUAAGAGAAAUGUCUAUCGUACGCAACCUUAUUCUUGUUUUGUAAAUAUGUUGUUUAUAUAACUCAAACCUAUGACCUUUCGGUCAUAAAAGAAUAACUUUCCGUUAUAAACAGUAAAAAGCCUGCUAAAAAAUGCCACUCUAUUUGAAAAUUAUAGUAUUGGUUCGGUGUAUUCUAUACUCUGAAACUUUUGUCCGUCAGAUUUUGAUCAUUAAAUCUUAAUUGAGAAUCUAAGAGCACUUCCAAUGUAUGAAGCCCCAUAUGCAAUAGACAACUCAAUCUCCUACACUGAACAGUAAUUGCCCAAGUACUUCACCCUUAAAUUGAAUAGCCAAACACUUCGUAUUAAAAUAUUAGUAUUUUUUAUUUUAUAAAAUAAUAAAAGAUAACUUUAUUUUUAAUUUUGGAUAAUAAUGAAAGAUUGAUUAAAAGUAUUUAAAAAUAUUGAAAUGUAAUAUAAAAUGGAAGAAUAUAGUUAGGUAUUUAUAGAAAAAAAAAUUACAAUUUUUAUAUUUUUAAUUAGUCUUUUAUAAUUUAUAUAAUUUUUUAAUAAUUUAAAUUGUGGUUGACGUGAUGACGUCAUAUAGGCAGGAGCUGGGCUGGGCAAUUAUUGCCUGACUUUUCCAUAGAGCUCGCUUUGGACCCAAUUACCCGAGUAGUUUGGAGUAUUUUGAAAAGAGGAGGGCGUGAAUUGAGUUGUCUAUCCUAAUAAUGUAAUAAGCAACGAUGAAGUUGUUUGAACGACAAAAGACUUCAAAUAUAAGAUUAAAAAAUUCGAACUGCUUUGUACUGUGCAAGUGAACAUAAAGGUAAGGUAUUCCUUUGAUUUGUGUGCUACAUUAAAAGGGUGGGUAAGGAGUAUUUAAUCCCCAAGAUGCUCCAUAAUACCUCUGCACUCUGCAGGUUUUCAUAAUUAUGAAUUUAUGAUCUCACUCAUAAAGCUAGGAUGUACUCGAUAUGUGACAGGCUUCUUCGCUGCCCUUGGAUCCGUCAACCACACAAUGUCCAUGUUAACGCUUCCAUCUAACGGUCAUCCUUGGCACAAAUACGUUAUAGUAAUUUGUGUGGAAAUGCUGGGAAUAUUAACUUUUCAGACCACCUCUGAGGAUUGAUAGUUAGAUUUAUUCUUUAACGAUUUAAAAAAAGAAUUCAAUAAUUAAUUGUCAUAUUUGUGCUUUACAAAAUAUAUUUUGAGUAUAUUAUCUUUCUAGCAUUACUGAAUUUUUUUAUAGGACUUUUUUUUACAAAGAUAAAUUAUGUCUCAUAACUAAGACAUUAUCGUUGUGUCACUAACAUCUUUUAGUGUCACCUAGUACCUAUCUAUUACCAACUUACUAAAAGGGUUGUGCUAUCCACACAUGUAUUUUUACUUCUUACACAUUCCUUUCAAUUUUUAAUCGUCAGAUUGAAUGAAUUGAAGAAGAUUAAUGGACAAAUUUUAACAAGGGUGUGUGGGAAGUAAAAAGGCCAGGAGGAUCCUCAAAUCGUGUCCGUUCAUCGUAUAUCGUACGAUCAGUUUUCAUCAGGUACUAUUCAUAUUUAAUUUUAAAUAAAAGUAUUUAAAACGAUUUUUGGCCUCACGAUGUAUGAUUAACGGACACGAUUUGAGAAUCUCUAAAAUCCUCACAAAGAGAAUCCCUAGGAUCCUCACAAAAAGAAUCCGAAAAAAGAUCAUCAUUUGUAAAAAGAAAUGUGUGAAUAAUAUUACCUUGUUCAAACCCUGCGGUGCCUAUCUCAUUUUCACCUUUUUGACACAAGUGGCAAGCUUGAAUUGUAUGGUGGUUCCAUAGGAUUGUGUCUUGGUCAAGACUAAGUUUCUCCCUUUAAGAGAAACCAACUCUUACAUUGGAGAGAUUUUUUAAUCUGACCGUCAUACGAGAUGGUAUACCACGUGUCUCUAUAUAAAUGGUGAGUUAUGUGUGUUAAAAGGUUAAUAAUUUAAAAAUUAAAAUUUUCCACCACUUGCAUAAAAACACGUGAUGUGCCAUCCAUGUUCCUGUCACAACUAAAAAUUUCUCCUUACACUGGGUGAGACCCUUGUUAAAUCAUAUGGCUAAAAUACAAACAGUGUCAUGGUUUUAUUGUACGUUACGAAUGGUAUCAACCAACAUUCUUACUUAAGUUUUUCUCCAACUAUAUAAUUAAAUUUAAAGUUACUUUUAGUAUUUAGUUCAUUAAACAAUAAUUCAUGUUUGUCCAAAAAUUAUCAUAAAGCUUAUGGAAGCCAAAACUUAGUAUUCAUCGACAUACUAAAUGCCAAAAGGACUGAUUCUCUUAGUUAAGAAAUUAUCAUAGUAUGUUUGAUAUUUAAGUAAUUAAGAAUAUUUAUCUUUGUACUCAAAAUUCUGAACUGGGAUGAUUAGUACAACUAUUUGCACACCCACAUUGAGAUUUGAGAAGGGGGGAAAAUGCCAUGUUACAUGACAUGUCUUGUAGAGCAUGAUGUCCAUUUCUCCUUGGUAAGAAUAAAGAUAGGGUGUCAAUUUUCUCCUCAAGUUUGUGUCUGCCCAUGCUGGGCAAAUUGCUGAAUAGUAUGGGGGAGGGUCAAUUUUACAGGCACAAUUUGAUGCCCACCCACAAGCCACACUAACCUCUCUCUCUCUCCUUCCUUUUUUUCCCAAGAGGGUGACCCCCAACACACCCAAAGGAAAAGAUUGAACAUCAAAACUAUGGUAAACUUUCUAAAUUAUUGGGGGAAGACAAAAGCGUGGGAAAGCUACCCAUCCUCUCUCCCCAUGUACUACCCAGCAAAAAACUGUCCCAUCCCAUUGCACAAUCCAGAGAGAAAUGAGAGAUUAAAGCACAACUAACCCAUCACUCCAGUCCAUGUAGGUUUCUAGAGUCCCGGGACUAAUUUAUCCUCCCACCAAAACCCGCUAUUUCUCUUCCUCCUUGGGAUUAUUUCCCUCCUGCUGCUGCUGCUCUUCACAGAUGCCUAGGCCGGGCCCGAGACCGUAUGAGUGUGUCCGGCGAGCUUGGCAUAGCGAUAGGCACCAACCCAUGAGAGGUUCCAUCAUUCAGCAGAUUUUCAGGUACUGGGUCGUCUUUGUUUCCAUGGAUUUCUCGGUAAAGGUCUCUGCUUUUUCACAUUUUGCUGAUUGCCCACCACCUGUUUGAUUAGGGUCGUCAAUGAGGUUCACAGCUCCGUAACGAAGAAGAACAAGGAAUGGCAGGAGAAGCUGCCUUUGGUGGUUUUCAGAGCAGAGGAAAUUAUGUAUUCAAAAGCCAAUUCUGAGGUUUUUCUCUUUUGCAUUUCAGGUUUGCAUUUGCUUUUUUGGCUGUUCCAUUGCUCAUUUUUUGCUUUGAUUUGUUGAAGGCCGAGUACAUGAAUCUUGACACGCUAUGGGAUAGAGCAAAUGACGCCGUUAACACAAUUAUCCGGCGAGAUGAGGGCACUGAAACCGGGGAGCUUUUGCCGCCUUGCGUUGAAGGUAACAUUGUACUGCUUUCUUUGCAUUUUGUUGGAUUGAACUGUGAAAUUAUGCUACUUGGUUGUUCUCAUUUCUCAAUGUAAAUUAAUUUAGCUCACUGUUCAAGCUUAGUUUAGUUUGUAAGAAGAGAUUAUUGUGCAGAGUGACUACACUAGAGGUGUGAUUUGUAUGUGUGUUUUGGUUCCUCCUCUUUAUGUUGUUCAGCUGCCCUUAAUCUGGGUUGCACUCCAGUAAGAGCUUCGAGAAGCCAACGGAACAGUAAUCCGAGGAGUUACCUCGCUCCAAGAGCACAAGAGCCCGCUCCUACGCCUGCUAGGGUUUUGGAUAAAGCUACUGAUGAACGGCACCCUCAGUUUUCUCCUCAUCACUCUAGCAAUCAAUUGAACUUUGCAAAAGCCUCAAAUGUGAACUCUGCACUUUCGGUCCCAGAAUCUUACAGCCGCAUGAGCCAGAGUACUAACCUCGCUAGCCCUCGGAAUUACCCAUUUUCACUUGAGAAUGUUCCUGCUGGCCAUAACCAGUUAGCAACAAUGUCAACCAAUAACCCCUCGAACUCGGGUUCAGUAUAUCCAUUAUAUUACGGAACUCACCAUCAACCUGAAGAGUUCCAGGUCGGUCCUCAGGUCCCAGAAAGUACAUAUUCUAGGACCAUACAUGUCGGCACACCAAUUGUUACAUCAGUGAUGGAACCUACCAAGCAGAACCUUUUCUCCUCCCAAGGUGCUGAAAAUGUGUCACACAGAUUCACAGAAGUCAUGGACACCCAGGAGAAGCCACGGGAAAUUGAAUGUGAUUUAUCGUUGACGUUGGGUCCUGUUGUCCACCCAUGCACUCGAAGAAGCUUGGCCAGUGGAAUGGAAGAUAUUGGGUCGAGCAAUUCUCAAGACGGGGGAAAGUUAAAUGAUUUUUCACCAUUGAGAAGCAAGGAAAUCUGUUUCUUUCCCACAAAGACUGCUUAUGAUCGCUUUGAGUCCACUUCCAGUAUGUGGAAUUCAGAGAGCGGUCGGAGUUCUGAGGCAACUGUAAGGAAGCGCAAGGCACCAUUUAGUAGCAAUGAGGAGGAUAGGCAAUAUUGCUGGCAACCAGAUGUCGUUCCCAACAGGUUCACUGGUCGAACUACAGGGCCUGGUUUGUAGACUCUUUCCCUACAGUAGUAUAUAUGCUUCAAAAUCCAAGAUGCCAAUAUAUUGUUGAAUCCUCUUAUGAGAGGCUCUUCUUAUGUAACUCUGCUUGCAAAAUUUCACAAGUUGAUGUGAGUUGCUAGUUGCAUUAGUGGAAAGAUGUGAGUCGUAAAUGAAACCUGAGUUUGAUUCAUAUCGUAUGAACAAUGUCCUGGUAUCAUGGCUAAAGCAUGAAACAUCAUAUACUUCCAAAUCACUAACGCUACAUUGCUUAGACUUAUAGAGUUGAGCGAAAAAGACAGAAAUAAGUGUUGUGGGUAGAAGGUAUGAGAGCUAUGUGGUAUUGUGGAACGGGCCUUAUCCGGCUCUGUUGUGUUACAGAUUUCAAGAGCAAUUAUGUUCCCUUUGUCUUCGUGUAUGAUUGAUUAUAGCCUUGCCUGAUCAAUGGUUGAACUCUUUGAAGGAUCUGUAAAGAAACGCCCUUUCUGGCUGGAACGGUGUGUCGAGGGUUCUUAUGAUACAAUGUCGAAUCUGCUUAAUUACGAGAGUACCUUUUUUAUUUUAUGUAGCUAUGAUUGUCAUAAUCUGUUGGUGCUUGGAGUGGUAAUGUUGUGCUCGAGUGUAAUGUACCACUCCGAAGGGAAUUGUAAUGUACUAUGACGAUUUGAAACAAAAAGUAUUAGUAAAAACACACCUAUCGAAGAAAAAUCGCGAGUCGAUUAUAACAUAAGUGAAGGUUGAAACUGUGUCGAACUAUUACGUAGCACAAGUAGAAGGAGUGAGAAUUAACAUGUAAUUAAGUGAAGAAAGAAAUGAUUACAAACCAAAAUAAAAAGAAGAAAGAAUUGACGUAUUCCGGAGAUCAUGACCUCAAUUAAAAAGCCAACGGUACUUCUCAGUGAGGAAGCAUGGGAGGCCGGUGGAGGAGCGGAAGCAGGAGAGUAGGCGUUGGUUGAUCCGACGGUGAGAGUGACCUUUUGGUCCCACUCGCGGUUCUCACCAACGGAAGAGAUGAAGUAGCGAAAACCAUUAGAAAGAAGAUCUACAUACACCGGGCUGCUGGUCAUGAUUAAAUCCGUCUAGUUCACCUAAGCUUUUCACCCGUCGUCUGACUAACGCUUAACGUUUUAGAACAUUGGUUGAUACACAAAACAUUGAUAGGUAACAUUUCAGUAGCAAAACGUUUUGAAAUGUUAUUGAAACUCAUUGAGGUUGUCUCAAUCUGGAAUGUCUUCAAAGCAGCUCAUAUUCAUGAGUUGUACAUUGACUAGACAAGUAGACAUUUCACUUGGACUUUAGACGUACGAUGUUGUCUUUUCCUCCUGGUUUUUACUUUUUAACGAGGAUAGAGGACCGAAGAAAAUAUCUGUAUUCCGUAGGUGUAGGAGAUUUUAGUCCUCGUGCGAUUACGUUUAUUGGCACCUGACUUUUUCGUAAGUUCACCAUCAUUUUGUUUGUACUCAAGUUUGAACUUUCUUUUCUUUUUUGUUAGUUAAGUUAACUAGAUCAACAUGUUUCACAUCUUUGCAUUCAAAUUCGAGUUUUUUUCUUUAUGUAACUUAAAAAUAAUUUAGUAUAGACUACUACUUGGAAGAAAAAAAUUAUUGUUAUUUAUCUCCAAAUUUUGGAUCAAAAGAAUUGUCCACUAUAAGGUUUGAUUACAUUUUAUCAUAAAAAAAUUAUUGAAUAAAUGAACAUUUAUUGUAAUAUAGCUUAUUUUUAUAAAUAAAAUAGAGGAUUAAACGAUAUUAAUUCUCGGAAAUGACUGCUAAGCUUAAGCGACGAAGGAAGCUACUGCUACUAGUGCGGAGAUGAGCCCAACGAAAGAACCAAGAGUGGUGGUAGUGAGAGAUGAAGCAUGGGAGGAUGAUGGUGGAGGAGCCAACAGAGAAGAGGUGGUGGUUGGUGAUCCAACGGUGAUGGUGACUUUUUGGCCUUGCUCGCAGUGGUUACCAACGGUGCAGAUGAAGAAGCGAGAACCGGUAGAUUUGAGUUCCGUACUCACCCCUGGUCCCAGUACGAUCCCAGGGUCACUGCAGUUGUCAUAUUCUUCUUUUGAUGCUACUUCCCCCACAUUAUGUUCCCACUUUUCAGUCCAGUUGAACACUGUAAUGCCAAAAAUUCACAAUAAUAAGUUAACAACAAAGAUAUAUGCACAUUCAUGAACUCGGACGCAAGAGCCGUGAAUAGUCAAUUGGCCUAAUUCACGUAUGUUUAGAUUAAUAAGAAAGAUAUACAAAUAUUCCUAUGAACCUGGACGCGAGAGCUGGGAACAAUCGUCAGCUAAUCUAACUCGUGUAUGCUUGUUACUGGGAAUGAAAGCGCACUUACCAACUGUAUCUCCUAUUUGGAAUGUCUUUGAGGCGGCCCAGUCGGAGUAAAAGGAGGUGUUUGGGGGAACAGUCCAGCCCAAGCUGUCACCUACUACGUACUCUACUGCUGUUGCACCCUUCAAAUUCAACAAAGAAGGGCAAGCCACCGCCAUAACCACCAAGCAAGCAAUCAUCAUAUUCAUAUCUUUGCGGCCGCCCAUUUCCCUACGCCUGAUGAAGAUUUCGAUCGACGUACGUGUUUUCUGCAAGUACUUUUCUUCAAUAUGAAUUAUGUAGACAAGUGUGUUUUGUGUUGUGUUGGAACGAGUUGGAGCUCAUCAAAUAAAGUUGGGUUGAUAUUUAUAGGCGAUGGAGGCUGAAGAGUGAAGCCAAAACACGAACUCUUCAUCAAAACACGCAUGCGUACGAUUUAUGAACUCAAUUUUGUAAUAAAAUUAAGCAUCUAUGUUGUGUGCGUGGCGGGAAACCUUCAAAACUUUGAACAAGUUGAAUUCAACCCUGCAUUGCCUGGUGAUUUUGAUGCAUUCUAAAAGAUAAAGAAGAAAGAAAUUACCAAGUUUUACCAGUCCUCAUCGUCCCAGCGUCAAAGACGUACGGUUUGAUUACGUGACGCCCUUGGAGUCCCACACACGACCUGGUCUAUGAAUCGAUGAUUUCUUCUUUUUAACUUCUAGUUCUCAAAAACAAUAGUAUCCUUACUCUGUCGUGCGACGCUACAUGCCACAUUCCGCCCGGGCCCCACCACAUCCGAGUUCGAUUCCGUCGUAGUGCGAUAUUGUCCAUUUUAGGAUCCAACCACGCCCUCACGGUUUUGUUUCUAGGAACUCUCACGAGAACUUCCCAGUGGGUCACCCAUCAUGAGAUGGCUCUCGCGCGAACUCGCUUAACUUUGAAAUUCCAAUAGAACCCGAAGCCAGUGAGCUCUCAAAAAACCUCGUGUUAGGUAGAGAUUGGAAUAUACAUAUAAGGCUUACAAGAUCCACUCUCUUGGACGAUGUGAGAUGUUACAAUCCACCCCCUUAGGGGCCCAACGUCCUCGUCGGCACACUUCCGACCAGGGAUUGUCUCUAAUACCAAAUUAUCACAUCCUGGUCCGGGCUCCCACCACAUCCCGGACUCGACUCCGCCGUAGCACAAUAUUGUCCGUUUUGGGCCAUGACCACGCCCGACCCAAAUUGAGGUGUGCUGGCCGUCAUGUGAGGAUGACGUAGCCAUAUGCGCGCCUCGAUUUGGGUCGGGAUGUGUCACUACAUGCUUGCUAUACUUUGAAUUAUAACCUUGAUGUUUACUUAUAUUAUAACACGCAACUCUAACCCCAAUCCCGCUCAACUGAAAGUUAUCUGGAAGAGAAGGAAGCAAAAUAAAAAGAGAAAACAGGUUACAUGAACAAUUGUGAAAGAUGUGUAAGACGAAAAAGCCAAAAUAGCCAAUUCGAGAACAAGUCAAAGAAAAACAUUUCCCAUGCUGCAAGCUGUUUCCAUAACCUGCGAUUGGUAUUCAGACAUGUCCUGGUCUAAAAAAGACUCUAAUUAAGCUGACUGCUGAGUUCAAGUGAGGUACGCAAAAGAGAAUGUUCUUCCACCUUCAAAUGUUUACAUUACCCUUGUCCCAAACUGGUGACAAAGCUACCUUACCGACUUUUUGUUGGAGCAAUAUUAGAAAAUAUGAAAAAUAACAAUAUAAUUUCAACGAUAAUAAUCAUAAAGAAGUUCACAACAUCAAUUAUAUAUGAGAUUAAUAUAAACAACUAUAGAGAAAGUUAUAAAAAACUGACAAACUUGGAGAUUGAGGCUUGCACAAAUGCAAUAUCCUAAAGAUAGAAUUUUGCCCCUACUCUUAUACUUGUAGUUCGGUAGGUGUCUGUCUCCCAGGAUUCAACAAUCUAUAAUCCGAAGUCAAAGCACUUCAAUCUUCGGACUCUGGCGAACUUCAUAUAUUCCGUACUCUCAAGACAUGACUCAGAAUUUUACCAAGACAUUGGAGAAAACUACUCUCUUCGGUCCAUUAGAUAUGUGAGAUGUUUGAGUUUAUAUAGAACUCAAGCCACCCCUUUUGAUAUAUUGUGACUAUUGCCUAAAGUUCCAACGAUGAAUUUGAAUUCAAUUAUGACACAUGUAGAUCCCAUUUCUUACCUUUUUUUAAUAGAGAAUAAUAAUUAUAGAGCAAUCCUACACUUACCAUAUAUUUUUAUCAUUAUUUAUAUCAUCUCACUAAUAGAGGCAGAACCCAAAAAACACAUGUAGAUCUCAUUUCUAUUAGAGAAAUGAUACAAAUAGAUGGUAAGAAUAACAUUUUUGAUAUGUUUAUAUGUAUAUGAGAGUUUUAGGUAAUAUUUUGGUGGGAUAGGUAGAGACUUAAAAAGAGAAACAAAGAUAAUAUAUAUAUAUAACGUUUUUUUUUAAGAAAAGGAUAAUAUCACGUUAAAAAAAAAAAAACAAAGGGUAAUAAAUGUUAGCAAAAGUGAAGUUGGUUUAAAGAGAGAAAAAAAAUAAGAUAGAGAAAACAAAAACUCAGCCAAAAAAAAAAAACCACUCAUGCAAACAACGUUGUUUUCUUCUUCUUCAUUGUGCCACUAGCUCUACAUUAAAAAAAAAAACUUAGAUUUCAACUUAGUUCGCCGCAUUAGCCCGUGCGCCUAGCCCCGCCUAAUCUUGCCUAGACCCGCUUAGACCUGCCUAACCCUACCUAAAUCCAUCUAGUCAUGCCCAACCGUCUGUCUCAUAAGCUUUUUAAUUUGUGGCCAAUUAGGAUGAAUCGCAGCUAGAUGGCAACCUAGAUCGCUUUUUAGAACAUUGGUCUGACACUAUCACCAUUGCCGCCACCAAACUCCACUUCAACUUUACCACCUAUUGCCACCACUUUUUUUAAUUGUCAUCUCCACCAUAGUCAUGUCUUUCUUCUUUAGUACUUACAUCUAAAUAUUAACUCUAAAUCUACCUCCAGGCAUAUAUAUAUACAUAUACAUACACACACACACAUAUAUAUAUAACAUGUGUGUUUUUUUGUGUAUUUUUUCAUAUCAAUAAUAAUAUUUGUAUCACAUAUAUAUAAAAUCUAUGACCACCUCUAUUAGAAGGUGAUCAACAAUAACACAUGGUGAUGUGUGAUUAGUUUAAAAUAUAGAAAAGUAGAUUCGCUUAUUUGGACAUAAACAUAAUUUAGUUAAGGGAAAUUUUAUGUGAACCCGUAUAACCUCUUUCUACACCCAACUUAAACUUUAAUUUUAAUUGUCUUUUUUACUCUAUUGCAUAAUUACUAUCAAGUGCGAAAUGAAAUUAACAAUAAAACUAAAAUUUAUCAAUAAACCCACUCUAUAAUUAAACUCUACCAUCAGCCUUUAUUUCAUCCAAAUAAUCCAUGUAAUGGUUUCAUCCGGUCUUCUAGUGCAAACACGGUUCAUUCGUUUGAUUAAAUCACUGCAGAUACAGUACCAAGGGUGAGACAUGAUUCAUUCUAAGCCAUGAAACUAGUUACCAUUGAAACUUCAUCUACUUCUGGUAUGGAUAGAUUAUAUGAAACUUCCUCUGAGAAGCCCUUUAAUAAUUGAUAAAGCCAUUUCAGAUGUGAAAGAGUAACAAUACCUAAUUACUGAACUAAAGUUAAUAAACGAAUGGGAGACAGAGAGCUAGAGAAUGAGAGAGAUUUUAAACCAUGGAGAAAAUGGCCAUGCUACAGUAGGUGGUUUGAUUUCAACUUUGAUGAGCUCCCUCCAAAAAAAAAAACCCAGUGCAUGGUUUUUAUAGUUUCACAAUUUAUUUUGGUGAAACAGAAAAAGAAAUAUUAUUAAUUGGUAACCCUAUUAUAAUAUGAUUGCAAGGACGAUCAUAUUGCGUAGAUUAUAUGAAUUUGUUCAUUUUUUCAUAGUCAUUUGAAAUGGACUUCUGUUUGCAAAUUUGGGAUUUGUAUUUUCUAAAUGGGUGUAGAGAUAAAUUUAUAAAUUGAAUUGAGUUUGUGAGGGUAGUUUAGGUAGUAAAUUUGGGUUUAAAGAGAUAUGAUAGUUUAAUUAAAAGUAAUGUGGGUGAAAAGAGUAUGUUGGGUGUAGAAAGAUGAUACAUGGGUUCAAAUAAAAUUUCUAAAUGAAAGGGAAUGUUUAAUUCCACAAAAGAAGUAUUUUAUUUUUUUACGAUGACACACCCCGACCCGGAAUGUCCACUUGGACUUUGAAUCGAGCUAUGAUGGCCGAUACCUGGAAGGUGAUGAAGCCAUAAAGUGUAGUGUGGUGGAAUAUGUGAAUAAAUUUAAACCUAAAAGUACCUAAAUAUAAGAGUGCGCUGUGAGCAGGAAUGAGCUCAUUUCAUAAGUGAUGUCAGAGCAUAAGUACAGUACAAUAAGAUAGGGUGAGAAUUAUACCAUCGAAGGUAAUCGUCUACACCAAUAUUUACCAAGAAUCCUUGUUGAUAAGAAAGCUCAGCUACUAAAACUUGGAAAGGCGAAAAACAAGGGUGAGUGGGCCUGAAAAUAAAGUUUUAAUAAAAACCUUUGAAAAUGUUAUAACCCCUAGCCGUAAAACAUGUAUAGUUUCCAAGAUAUACAUACUACAAAUAAUAUGAAAAUACUCACCGUAGCUUGCAAAAUAUUAAGAUAUCAAUACGGCAUAAUAGUUCAUAUAUAAGUACAUGACGUCAGUAAUCGUAUACUUUCGCAUAAGCAAACAUAUUAAACAAGUGCUCAUCGACACAUGCUGACACACGAGUUCAUGCAGAGUUAUUCUAACAUGAACAGGAAUGGGUGUACUAAUGAUAUACGCUAUAAUGUUACAAUCACGUGAAGACUGACGUUAUUCGCUGUCACAUACGAGUUAGAGUUGCCUAUUACAACCUGUACGACAGGACUGGCACCUACUUGGAUCUAAGGCGAGCGUGCGGUGUGGAUGUGAACAUACACGUGAAAGAUUGGCCCUGGCCCCGGACGAGCACUAACAUCGGGUGCAGCAAACAAUGAGUAUAAAACAUAAAUAUAAUCAUGCCAUAGUGGUUCAAUAGUUCUAAUCAACAUAAUAUCAUUCAUAGCCGUAGGUAUAAUGAUAACAUCAAUAAACAUACGCAUAUUUGUGCAUCCUGUAAGAUGUAGUAUAUUUAGUAAUUUCCAUCAUCAUGCUAAAACUUAUAAGCAUUCUGCUAAACUAGGCGUUUUGUAGGGAACUCUUUAUGACAUGCAUAAAUGGAAACUAACAGUUAUAUAUAUAUAUAAAAGAAAAGACCCACUCACCUGAAGUCCCCACUACAACUCCCUACCACGAAUAUCGAGGCAUCACGAACGAUCGUCGCCUAGAACAAAUAUCAAAUUACGUCUUAGAAUUCUUAUCAAUAGAAUACAUAACUUACAUAAAACACAUCCCCAAGGACGUUCUAGAGUGAUUUGAAACCCAUUAAACAAAAGUCAACAAUCAAGGUUGACAGUAGGGUAUACAACUCUACGUAACUCAAUCUAGAAUAUCUACACCAUGGAUUUCCAAUUCGUAACUUCCCAAGGGUUUCAAUAAGCUUCUAGAACAACAUCCUAAAGUUUCGGAACGAUCCAACAGUCGGAUCUUCGCCAAUUGCUAAAAUUAAGUAGCGGCCGACGUUUUGAUUUACAAACUUAGAAAACCCAUCCGGGAAGAUCCAUACGUCAGAUUCCCAAUCCAUUAGUUCCUAAUAUCCUUAAAUAUUAUGUACUAUUACGUAUUAAAGUGUGGUGACGAUCCAAUGGUCGGAUCGUCGAAUCAUAUAAUAACCAAGUGGCGGUCCUUAACGGAAAUAUAACCAAACAACGGAAUUCGGUCAAUCGGAUGCCUAAAAUGGAAUCGGGGCACCCAUUUUAGCCUAGGGAGGUCAAGUGGUGUCUCUGCCUGCGCACCGCCCCUACUCGCUGGAAAAUUCAACUAUUUCAAAAAAUUCUCAAAUUUUACAGAAAUGAAGAUCUCAAUGAGGAGGGAAAUUUUUAUACCUGUGGCCAAAUCCAAUUUGGUAGGGAAAAACUCCAAUUUCUCUCAAACUCGCCGAAAACCCUAGAAAUGGGUGGCUUCGAUCCGUCACCUCCGGUGCUCUGUCGUCCCCAAACCUAUUUGGGCUUUGUUCCUGACCUUUAGAGGAGUGUUUUGGUGGUGUUAAUUGAUUGAAAUCGUUUCACAAAUGGUGGAUUUCGGGCAAAGUUUCCGACGACACCCACAGUGGGUUUUUCACCAAACUACAACUAAAUUUCUUUUGAUUUUGGGUGGAAAUGGUAAAUGGGAGGUUGGGUAGGUGUUUGGUAGGGAUGGUAGGCCAUGAAUCACUGGAAAAAUAGUGAAAGUUGGGCGGAAUUACACCGGUCGAAAUCGGGUUGGGGGUAUGGGUGUACGGGUUCGGUUUGGGUGUUCUGCACCUCUCUCCUUUCCCCUCCUUUCCUUCUUUUCUGAUUCAUUCCUCACUUCUUUCUCUCCUCCUCAUUGGCCGCCCAUUUCCCCUCUUUCUCUCCUAAUUGGGCGAACCGUCCACCCCCAUCUCUUUUUUCCUUCUUCCUCUCAUCCGCCCCUCACCCUCAUUUCUAAUAUUAAAAUAAUAAUAUAAUAAUUAUGAGAAAUAUAUAAAAUAAUAAAUAGUAAUCUUUACAAAAGUACUUUUCAGAUUUGUAGUUCCGUAAAAUUUUAAUUGUAACUCCAAAUUUGCUUCCUCUUGUGCCUACACGUCUGUAUCGUCGCGUACUUCAAGAAUACAAUAAAAUAAUAACCCAUACGCUUCACGAAAUGACGGUUAACUGAAGUCAACGAUCUCGCCUCUAAGGGCAUUUUCGUCAAUUUACUCAUUUACAAUUUAUAAAAACAUAAAAUUAGGGCCGGGUUAUCACAUACGAGGUACAACUAUAAAUUCCUAUUUAUUUGUUGCUAAAUCGACCAUAGACCAAUUCCCUUUUUACUUGGGAGUACUAAAUACGCCCAUAAUUUUGAGUUUCAUGUUACUCCUACCAAGAGACAUGUCAUAUCACUCAAUUCUAUUUUGAGAUGGGUAAUGCUAGAGAGACUAAAUUUGUAGAGUAAAUUUUGUAAACUAAAUGACAUGAAAGUUGAUGAUUGAAUUAUUACUUAAGUGUUGAUUAACGGGCUUAUUACUUAUUGGCGACUCGUCAUUUAGUUUGCAAAUUUAGUUUACAAAUUUAAUUUUUCUAGCAUUACCUUUUGAGAUUAAUACACAUCGACAUCGACCCUUCCUAUGUUCUUUGUGGCAGCCUCAUGGAAACAACUUCCCAUUUCAUGAACGACUGCUACUUUGCUCGAUGCCUUCACCAUGCAUAUCUUCCUAGUCCUCGUGCUCUCCCAUCAUGGAUUAAGUGACCAUCGCCCGUAGAUUCUUGCCUAAUGCAGACUUUGAUUGCUUCCUGGCACUGGCGGAGGCACGUAAGGACUACAAUAGUCCUAGGCCUACCCUAACUUUAAAAAAUAAGAUUAGUAUUACACAUAUUUUUAUUGCUUUUCAACCCUCCUCAACAACUAAAAGAAAUUCAAUCAUUAUCUAUUUUUCAUCCAAUAGAUCCUAUAAAAAAAUUAAGUAUAUAUUUUAAAUGGUCAUUUAUCAUAGAUGGUGGUGCUAUCCAUAUACCAUUUUUUUACUUUCUUGUUUGGACCUGAUUUUACACUAUCGGCUCGAGUAAUCGACGUCCGUCGAAUGACAAGGUAGUUGAAAUGAUUCUCAAUUAUUAUUGAGAAAUAACGUUGUGAUUUUAAUCAUGAUAUUAUCUCUUAAUAAUAUAUUAAAUUGUUUAAACCUGAUAUUUGUCUAUAUCCCAAUUGAUUUGAACGCAUGGAAUAUUGGGAUAUGCGGCAACAGAUAAAUAUGGUGCCAAAUGGUAUAUGCUUUUGGAUGUGGCCACGUGAAUGUGCUUGUUGGGAUUUUAUCCCAUGUAACUUUGCAUGCAUAAGCACCACCUGGAUCAACAUGGUGGAAAUAUAGAAGGAAAACAUUGAUGUGAGGGCACGGUUUCCUAACUGAACUAGGAGAUAGUCUGAGGGCAUGGUUUCUUUUGAGGCAUGCAAAGGAUAAGGAAGAAAAAAAACAAAUGUUUUUUUGAAUAAUUGUGACAUAGAGUCAGAUGAUGAUGACAGCUAAAGGAUAGGCUCUUUCCUAUCUUGAGAAGUCUUUGACUGAAGUAUUGGCUGACGAGUUUGAAUUGAAAUCAAAUUCUACAAGUCUAGACCGUGCCGAGUGAAGCACAACUACUAUAAAUAUAGAGGCAAUGGUAACGGAAAAAGCCCCUUCCAAUUCAACACACAAACUGUCUUGCGCAAACCCUCGCUCUACGCGAAACCUCUCAACAACCUUGAGAUUUUUGUUUUCCUUUUUCGCCAACACAUCUUUAGUUUGGAUAAACAGCACUGUGAAGGCAACCGGCGAACAUCUUCAGUUUGGAUAAACAACACUGUUGCCGUAGAAUUAGCCGACUGUGAAGCACCUUCAGUUUGGAUAAACAGCAUUGCGAUAGGGCCGACUGGUUAUCUAUCCAAGUCUCGGUCAAGAAGGAUUUUCGAAUCCUUAUUGGCAAAUGUUAUCUCAUUAGCCUUCUCGGUGAAGUGAGGUGUUACAAGUUACUAAAUUCGGCACAUUUAAAGCCGAAUUUGAUAUUGAAUUUCGCAGAACUAGCAGCUUUGUCUUCAGGCUCUAGAACUCGAAUGCCGAGAUGUGUUCCUUCCUCAGCCGUAGUCGCAGGAUCAAGAAGUCAGCAACGCACCCAAUGCAACAUCAACAAAUUUUACUCCUCAGCCGAGCUUGGCACACCCCGCAUAUAUUUUAAAUGGUCAUUUAUCAUAGAUGGUGGUGCUAUCCAUAUACCAUUUUUUUACUUUCCACACACCUUCUGUUAAUUUAUGUUAUAUGAUUUUCUUUAAUUCAUUCGAUUCGAAUGCAAAAAAAUUGAGAGGAUUGUGCCGAAGGUAAAAAGAAGUGCGUGGAUAACAUCACCCUAUCACAAAUUAAUAACAUUUAAAUUAAAACCCAUCAUUUGCUUUUAAUUACAAAAAUCAUAUUUCACUUAUGAAGGGGCAAAGUUAUAUUCCCUAUUUUUAUUGAAUUUCAUAUAUUUAGCCAAUCCAAAGCUCAAGUUUAUUGAAUAAAGAACAAAAAGGUUUGUAAUACUCUAUUAUUCAAUACAAAACAUUUGUUUCUAUUCUAUCCCAUCUCUUACUCGAGUUUUAGGGUUUGCAAAUUUUUAUGUAACUCUCUUUAUUGAGUUUAAUAAUUCUUUCAAUAGUAUAGAUGACAUCAUGCAACGGUUUCAAAAUAUAAAAUUCAUCGAGGAUACUUAUGAUUACUAUGAAUAGAUAAAAUUAUCUAUGCAUAUGUUAAAUUUGAGUACUUAAUUAUUUGGAUAUAUAUUAUGAUGUUUUGCAUUAGUAAUUUUAUAACCACUAUUCGUUUUUUCUUCUUCUAUACUUGUGUGAGGCUUAUCCUCACAAGAAAUCCUGGCUCUGCCAUUGCUGGUUCUCAUCUGGGCUAUUUGAGGAGCUAGAAACUGAUUCUCCCAACCUAGUCGCUGCCAGAGCCAUUAAUUGGUGGCAGGAAUUUGUUAAAAACUUCUCCCACUUGGCGACUCCUUCCUAUGCUGGCACUUACCAAUGUUUGUCUAAACCAGUACGAUCCCUUAAGCUUAACAUUGACUAUGCGUGGCAUGAGGAUAUCAAGCUAGGAGUUGUUGUAGCUGUCUUUCGUAAUUUAGAUGGCAUGUUCGUUUAUGCAACGUCAGGUUUCUUUGACGAUAUGUUCUCGCCUCUUCAGGCGGAAGUCUUGGCGGCUAAAGAAGGUAUUACCUUCGCGGCUGCGAGGGGUUAUCAAAACUUUAUCCUUGAGAGCGAUUCGCUCCAGAUUGUCUCUGCCUUGCGAGAUCGAUCUAUCAACCUCUUGUCCAUUGUUAGGACUUGAAGGCAAUGCUAGACCAGAUCAUUGGAGUCUCAGUUACCCAUGUCCGCUGCCAUGGGCAAAGCUUCAUGGGAACAAGAAGGGGCGGCCACCCCUUCGGUCUUCGGAAAUCACCAUUGAAAGUGAAGAUUUCGCCCCUUUGGUCCUCUAAACUGCCGUCGAAGUCUGUUGCCCUACUUCGUUGUUUAUGUGUUUUAUGCUCCUGUACUUCUUUGGUUUUUUAUUUUAUUUUUAAAUACCCAGGCCAAAACGACGUUGUUUUAGUUCUAGGAUAAAAAAAAAAAACAUAGAACGGUGUUGUUAAGGAGGGAUACAGUAAGAUUGUCAUUAUUCAAGAGUUUGUUAAGUUGUUUGAUAGUAUGAAGGAAUUGGGUGUGUGGAGAAGUUUCAAACCCUAUGAGGCUCUAUUUAAGGCCAUUAUGCGCCACAAUUGGUAUAAUUGCCAAGAGGUAUUUUAAUGCAACGUUGAGUGAGGGAAUAAAACCUAGUAGGCAUACUUAUAAAUUAUAUGAAUCACAAGGUCAUGCCUACAAGGAGCUACUGUAGAGAGAAUCGAUAAAAAGAUACAUUGCAUCUCUUCCAUAACAUGAUAUCUGACUAUCUGAGUCAAAAGAUAAUGAUGAAAAGCCUGAUAAUUUCACCAUUCCCACUGCUCUGAAGGUGUGUGUGGGGUUAAAACACUCACAUAUGAGAAAAUAAUACAAGGGUUUGUGAAGAAACAUGACAAGGUUGAAAUGAAUAUGUUUGUGGGUUAUGCGUUGAUCUAAUUGUAUUCCAAAUGCGGAGAAAUGGGCGAGAUUGUGAAAGUUUUUGAUGAAUUUUCGAAUCCGAAUGUGGUUUUAUAGAGCGCGACAAAAAGAAGGUAGAAGUUUCUACCCUUUUAUAGCCCGACAAUUCAUGGCCUUGCCACCGGCCACCAAAGGAAACGAAGUGCACACCGACUUGCUCGAGCUGCCCUCACAUCAGGUGCUCUCCAUAAUUGUAACUGGUUUGUGGAAUUACCAUAUGUUGUUACUUGAUCUCUUGUUUGACGGAUCAUUUUGUAACCAGUCUUGUGACUUUCUGGCUUUAAUAAAAUCUCUGCCUCUUGUUUUCAAAUCCAUUUGACUAUCUUCUUAUGUUAAAAGGGUAAUGUUAGUGAGAUCAUAUUUUUAAACUAAAUUUGUAAAACAAAUGAUGUAUCAUCAAUAAAAAAAAAUGACAUUAAUUGAUACUUAGUUAAUAAUCGAAUCAUUUACAACCAUAUUAUUUGGUUUAAAAAUUUGAUACCCUUUAGCAUUUCUCAUAGAAGUAAUACGCGUUAAUCAUAGCAAAAGGUCGGUAUAUAGAUUGACCGAGUCAGAGUUUAUUGCCGGGUUGACUAAAGUUUGAACUGAGCACGACCAAACCCAUCUCAAUGGAGAGCUGGCCUUAAUUAAUUCAUUCAAAAAUUUGCUAAUAAAAUAAAAAACUUCCAACCCUGAACGGAAAAAUCAUUGUUUUAUUAAUAAUGAAAACUAUCAAUCAAAAGGAUGAACAUAAUUUCGAUAAUACAUGAAUAAAUACGAGGUAUUAAGUACACUUAAUUAAAGCUAUAGAAGAAGAUGGCCAUCGCAGUGGAGAGGAUUAGGGCACCAAUAUUAACGGUGAGAGAAGAAGAGGCGUUGUGGUCCCACCAGCGAUCAUCAUCUUCAGAAAUCUUGAUAGUCACCUUCUGCCCUAAAUCACUGCAGUGAUUACCUACGGUGCAGAUGAAGUAACGGGUCACGUUGGAAGUCAGUGUAAUACUUGCAGGGCUGGAAUCAUAAAAAGCAAGAUGGUUCGAAUUUGAGCAGUUAUCGUAAUCAGCCUUCGAUACUUCAGCUACUGUGUGUGAUCCACUCCACUUGAAUACUGCAAAAAGAUAUAAAUAAAUAAACAGAUGUUCAUCAAUCAAAAGGAGAAAUUUACUUUGCAGAAAGUCAUUUUAAAGGGUCGAUCUAGGUUCUACGUUGAAGAAAUAGAGAUUAAUUUUCUCGAUGCGUUGUCUGGAAAAACAUGACGUCUUGCACAGAGCUGAACUGAAUAAGAAAGAACUAACACUAACGAAGAUUUAGAGGACGAAAUUUUAAUUACCUAUUGUAUCAUUAUUCUGAAAUCUUUUUGUGUUAGCCCAGGUGGUGUAGGCAAUAGAGCCGGCUGGAGGAAUAGUCCAUUCCAAAUCGUCUCCGACUGUGUAAGUAUCAGCUGUGGCACCGUUGAACAAGGCCACUGCAACAAGAAGAAAGCACCCAACCAAUCCCAUACGACUCACCAUUUCUCUGCUGUGUGUUCUUCUUUACGUCGUCCCUGGCUAAAACCCCUAAUCUCUUCUUUUUCUCUUUGGAAAUUAUGUUUUUUGGUGGAUGAUGAAUCAAUCAUUUUAACGUCUACUACUUAUACAAAAGGGAAGGAUGACCAAAGGCUAUAGAAUUGAUUGUGUUUAACUUAUCGAAGGCGAGUUUCCUUGCUUUCAAAUAAGGCGACUGAAGACCAAAAGCUAUAUUGUGUUUAACAAUCUUUUUUGAAAAUGGACUACGAUAUUCAUUAAUAACGGAGGAAUACAUACAAACAAAGGAAAUGAUGCAUAUAAAGGGCUUUGAUAAAAACCUUGCCAGAGAUUUCAAUUCAGUCUGAGGAAAAAAGAGCAUAUCGCACCAACAUACUAAUUAGAAUUACCAUCCUCAAACAAAAUAUCUAAGAUAAUAUCUUGUGGUUCCUCAAACCACACAACGAGAUUGGUUACAUUCAAGCUAAAUCUUGCCAAACCAUGUGCGACCUUAUUAGUCUCGUGCUUGCUAAAGGAGACCAUCCCUCGGGGAAAAUUCAUCAUCAGACUUCGGGCAUCAUCCAACACAUGACCAAAUUGACCAACAUCUGUUGGACAUUCUAAAAAUAGUUGACGUGUUCUUUCUGGAAACAAAAGACCAAAAAUAUCUGUUGUGGAAUAUUGUACAAUUUAGGAAAAGUCACCAAUUUUGGGUUUAUACGAAAUAGGAGAAUUUUUUUCUAUGUAAGAAUAUUACGCGGCACACUAAGUAUUAUAAUACAAGUGAUUGGAUAUUUUAAUAUAAAAAAAUUCAACCAUAAAUAUUUUGACAGUUUGGUUAACCAGACAUUAUUUACGAUGCACUAAAAAAUCCCUCAUGAAAUACAAUCUUUUUGCUUUUUUAUUUUUUGGUUUUCUGAGUGCAAUUGAACAAAGCAACUAUAUAAGUUGUUCAUCGUUAUCUUGUUUUUCUACAUUUAGUAAUUAGAAUACAUAGUAAACUCCAUACGUUUCUACUUUCUAGUAUAUCGCCAAGAGACUAAAUUGUAAUGAGGCCAAAUGGAAAGGUAUGGGCAGGCAUCAUGGCCCAAGUCAUAUACUUUGACUUGAUGAGGUGCGUUUGUUUUGUUGCGACACAUUGUUAUAUUGCUUGGUCCAAGAUGGAUGUUAAAAUGAGAACGCAUAAUAUGACGAACGAAGAGUGACAAGCAAAAGCGAUCAAAAGGUAACCAAGAACAUAUAGAAGUUUGUAAACCGCCAGAAGGAUCGGAUUAACCUCAAAUUUUGUUUGAUUGAUGAUAUGAAGAUAACAACCGUAUUAGCAAAGCUAAAGUUGCUUUUAUAGCAAUUUUCCAUUGUGUUUUGGUAUGGGAAGAAAGUAUGAUACAUUUUUUGAAGUGUCAAUAACAGUUAGUCAUGUAAAUCUGAACAAUUUUAGUACAGACCGUUAUUUUUAUGUAUGGAUUAAUGAGUAUUUUUCAAUGCUUUACGAGCUACAAACUAGAUGUGAGCGAUUAAAGAAGUAGAAAAGAUUGAUCAACGAUUAAACAAGACUUGGUAGAAAUGCUAAAAACGAAGUUUUAUGGUCAUUUAAAAUUCCAUUUAAUUUUGAUAUUUGUUUUGUAGCUCUCUAGUCCAUCUUGGGUUACAAGGACACGAAACCAAGUUGGUGUUUCUGCUUUUUGCCACCGUCUUUUCAUAUUUGUUAGACGUCUCUUUCUAUUGAUUUAAUAAUGCAUGAACUGGAUUUGUUCUCACUUUUGACAACCAAGUCUGAAAGUAGGAAAUAUCUUACAAGAUAAGGGGCACUUGGCACCGUCUCAAACCCUAAUAUGUCAAUUUUUUAUCUUAUGGCAAACCAAACAAAUUAAGUCGUUGAAAGAGUCGGUAGAAAAUUUAAGUUUGAAGAAUAAGAUUGUAAUAUAACUGAGUUUUUAGUUCAAUUUGUUAGAAAUAUUCACCUCUGCAUCCGAGAUUUUGUUUUCAACACUUUAUAUAUAUAAAUAUAUUUCUUGUUAAAAGAAACAAACAACCUAUUUUAUUGUAUUCAAUCUCUCGAAUUUAAAUCUUAUAGACAAAAAUUGUUAAAAAAACUCAACAUUAAGUGAAUUUAUGUUUUAAAAAGCGAAGGGCAUGGGCGAAGCGUUUCAUGAAUACUAGUUCGGUAUGGGAUACCGAACCGAAACCCUUAUCCUAAUUCCCAAACUAAAGUUUUCGGGAAUUCCAAUUUUAAGACCGAUCUCAAACCAAAUUUUCGGAAAUCCCAAAUUUCGGGAAUCUCAAAAUAAUUUCUGGAUUUCGGGACAAAUCGGGAAUCCCAAAAUAAUUUGGGCUUUUGGAAGAAACAAGUAGAUGACUCAUAUACCUUUCUGUUCCAGGUUUAGUAGCCAUAGAAUUGUAAAUCAAAUGGUAGGCCUAUUAAACAUGCAUGCUGGAGGACAUUGCCAUCUCACAUUCUGGGCUUACGAAACAUUACCUGUUUUCGACCAUGGAGCAAAUUCUGCAGCUACCAAUAUGAUAUUCAUGACAUUAUGCCCAGCCAAAGGAGAGGGCUUUACGUCCUUACUCAUAAAACCAGUUGCCCCAUCAUUGACGACUCAGGGUUAGUAGGAAAAGAUGGCUAACCAUCAGACCACUCUGUCUUGGAACUAUCCUUACUCACAUGCUUACUGGACUCUAGUUCACUGGGAGACUUAUUAAACGGCAAGGCAUCUCCAUGAUCCUUUUCUAUUUCAUUAAGCCCUCCAUUAAGAGCAGAAGGCAUAGUCUCAAAAUCCCUUUCUUCAGUUGAAUGCUCAUAGCUGCUCGAAACAAUGCUGCCAAUUUGGUCAACACUAUUAUCAGCACUACUUGAAGAACUUUCCACAUUUUUCCACAUUCGAAAAUGAUUAUUCCCUUGUUCAAAAGAAACUUCCUCUUCUUCUUGGCUUAUACACUACUUUGUAUAGAAGAUACCAAUUUCCUAUUUCCUUCUUUCAGCAAUCUGCAAAACCCAAAUUUGCUAAUUCUACGCUUUCGACUCUCCUUAAUUACUAAAAACACAAAAGAUGGUGAAUGUCCAUUCUUCUGUCAAAGUAUGCUUAAGAAAGUACAGUAAUACGACACAUAACACAAUAAAUGCCUAAUAAGAAAUAGCUUGAUAUCUAGUGAAAAAUGACAUGCCUUGAUUCAUAAAUUUUACUUCAUCUAAUAGGAUACAGCUUACUCAUGGGCAUGAACAUCUCACUGACAUGACUCACAAAAAUCCCAAGAGCUCGGAGAGCUUAUUUUAGGACGACACAUGCAUCAUAUUAUUGAAACAUUGUAUUCAUCCAAGGGAAUGUUUCCCACACGUUUCAAGCAGUGGCCUUCAUUAAAAGAGAUUACACGGCAGUACCUGAAUUUUACAUCUUAAAACUAAUCCUGUGUCCAAGAUAUAGGCACAAUCCUAACAUACUGCAUAAUUCUUUACCAAUAUUGAUGCCAAUACUUCCACCAAAAACUGCAUAACACCUAUCCAUGUAUUAAAGCAAAUGGAGUUAUAUAUUAUAUGCCCCUAAACAUAUAAACUAACAACUAUGACACCAUCCAACUAAAAAUCACUACCUCGACUGCAGAAACUUAACAAGAACCCCCCAGAGAAACGUUGCAAGGGAAGUAAGGAUAAGACAUCUACUUGUUUCUUGUUAGGAAUGGGUAGAGAGAAAAACCAGUCUCGCCAUAUUAUAAAAUGGAAAGAAAGAGAAAUAAAAAAGGAUAAACCUGCAAAUUCUUGAUAAUUAUGGUCACAGCUGCUUCAGAUGCUCGCUUACAAUCCUGGAAUGAGGAGUCUCCAUAUGCCUAAUUGUGGAGAGCCCAACCACAAAGAAACAAGGCACAAUGUAAAUAAAACUCCAUAUCCGUUCCAAGUGCUAAAUUUCACAAACCCUAAUCUAGAAUUCGAACCCUAAACUAAAUUUCAAACCCUAAAUUAAUUCCAAAAUUUACCUGAUUUGAGAGAGAGCUCAGAGAGGUGAGUCACUUGUGAUGUGGGUGUGGCCGGAAUCGAAGAAGGAAAGAGAAAUCGGCGAGGAGGGUGGUGACGGUGAGGUUGUCUGAGGUGAGGUGAGAUCGAGCCGAGACUCGAGAGACAGAGAGAGACAGGGACUGAGUUCUCCGAGGGUUUGAACUUUGAUUUGUAUUCAACGGUUAAGAUUAAAUCUCAACCAAAUCUGACGGACGUUACAAUGCCAAAUAUAUAUUUAAAAUUAAAUAAUAAUGUGUGUAUAUAUAUAUGUUGUAAACAUUCCUAGAAUAAGUAUGAUUGUAUAAAUCCUAGAUUAGAUUUGAUUCUAGUUAUCCUUUCCUAUUACAACUUGUAUUACUUGGAGGAGAAGGAAUAUCUUAUCUCCCUUUACUACUAUAAAUAAAGGCACAAUGUAGGAGGGAUAACAACACACACAUUCCCCUACAAUUCUACAAACACACAUCUCUCUCCUCUCUCCCACUGCUGCCGGCACUCUCUAUUUUGUCAGAUAAAAAUAGACCACAACACGUUAUCAGCACGCUCCUACCGCUGCGCUUAGGAAUCUGACGUUGGAGAUUUUUUUUCUGCAUUAAACCAGUUCAUCCAUAUCAUCACGCAAUCAGGUUCUUUCCAAACAACGGAUUUUAACUUGAUAUUUUGCAAGCCCUGAUAGCAUGAACAUUCACCAUGAUGCAUGACCCAACUUUACGUUUAACGUAUUUUAGAUUCUACAUAAAUUGUGUAUGCUUCAUCACCAAAAUUGCUACAAUUAUGUGAAUUUGAUAUUUGCCAUGAAUUGAAUCUUACAUAUGUACAUGCAUUGAAACUAUUAUUUGCAUAUGCAUCAACGUAAAUAUGUGAUUCAUUAGAAUUAUACAUGCAUAUAAUAUAAUUGAAUUAAAAAAUAAAAAAAAUUUUGCGAUUGGGGAAUUAGGGUUCUUUGAACCCGUGCCUUUGCAUCACGCAAGGCUACAACGCAACCAGGCCCGCAGCUUGCGAUGGCUAGCCCAUCUUCUUGCAAGGCUUGCAGCCUGCAUCCCCAUGCUUUCCCGAGCCGAGAGCCGGACGCCCAUCGCGUCCCCAACAAACCAACCCCGACACUUUUCAUGGUGUCCAUUGGCCACGGCAUGGCCUGCAGCCAUUGCUUUGAACCUCUGGUUCACGUCGCCGACGACUAGAAGUCGUCCCACAUUUCAAAUUGAACUGAGAUUCACCGGAAUCUCGUCGGAUUUUUUUAAUUCAUUUCAAUUUUUUUAGGGUUUUCUAGUUGUUGAUACGUUGAGAUUUCCUUAUCUCCGUGGUUGUCCACGACAACCGUGACUCACUCUGAGCUCCAACAACCUCGACACGACCACCUGUAGUGGCUCCGUCCACAUUUUUCCGGUUUUCUUCCCUUGCCAAGCACACCCAGCACGGCUGGGAUUUUUUUUAGACCUUUCCCCGAGCCCUAUCCGGGCUCUGUCUCUCAGCCCCAUAUGGAAAAAACAAAUUUUUGCUGGGCUCGCUUGCAGCAGCCCAGCCCGCAAAGACAAAUUUUUUGGUUUGUUUGUUUAUUUUUUGGGCCAACCUGAAGUGGCCCGCGCGCGGAAAGGAAUUUUUUUUUGGGGGGUCUGCCUGCAGCAGCCCAUUCCCUUCUCACCCCGUGGGUCUACAGCCUACACCCGGGGAUUAUCGGCCUAUAUUUUUAAGCCCCGCGAUUUUAUUAUUUACUAUUUUUAAAUAAUAUGGGUUUUUAUAUUUUCACCCACACUUUAAUUUUGCCCCGAAGACCAAAUAAAUUAAUUCAAUUAUAAUUAUACAAUAUUUUUUGCAUAUACUUGUUGCAUAUUUGUUUGCAUAUAUAUUUGUGUUUGCCUGUAGGAAUAUAUGAACCUGAAGUUCAUAAUUACUUUGAAACCUGAAGUUUCUUAUAAACAUGCCUUGUUUGAAAACCUGAAGUUUUCUCUUAAACAUAUCACCCAUGAAAACCCGAAGUUUUUCAUGCAAAAUUAAACCAAUACAUGUCUAUUAGAACCUGUAUGUUCUACUCCUAUGUGAAUGGAUUGAUUUUUCUCCAUUACACUAACCACAUCUUGUCCAUCUAUUUGUGAUCGGAACAUGUCGAAUUUGAACAAACUCGACUUCACCGCUUUGGAGGUCUCUGGAAGGAACUACCUCAAGUGGGUUCAAGAUGUGAAGCUCCACCUCACUGCCAAAAACUUGCGUCCUGCUAUUGAAGAAGCAACAACUGAACCUGUUGGCGAAGCUAAAAAAGCCACUGUUAUGAUCUUCAUCCGAAGACAUAUUCAUGACGCUCUGCAAACUGAGUACCUUGAUGAGGAGGAUCCACGUGCAUUAUGGGUCGCUUUGGCUGAUCGUUUCGAUCACCAAAAGGACAUAUUCUUGCCUGAAGCAAGACACGACUGGCAGUACUUGCGCUUCCAAGACUUUAAGUCUGUGAAUGAAUAUAAUUCUGAAGUUUGUCGAAUCCGAUCACUUCUCAAGUUUUGCAAUGAAACUUUGACUGAAGAGGAUCUCCUAGAGAAGACCUACUCGACCUUCUCUGCUUCUAAUAUUGUCCUGCAGCAACAAUAUAGAGCUCAGAAGUUCACUAAGUUCUCGGAUUUGAUCUCUGUUUUACUUCUUGCUGAAAAGCAGAACCAGCUGUUUAUGAAGAAUCAUCAAGCUCGACCUACUGGGGCUACUGUUGUGCCUGAAGCACAUUAUAGCACUAAUCAGCACCCAAAACACCAAAAGAGGCGUGGUAAGGGCGGCCAGAAGCCAUCCCACCAAGGUCAACAUAGUCAAGGCUUAUCCAAGGGAGGAUACAAAGCCCAGAAGCGUCCAAACCUCGCUCCCAAGGCCCCGAACUUCAAGAAUAAGGGCAAAGCACUUGCCAUAAUGAAUGACGAUAUGCGCUAUCGUUGUGGUUCAAAGGACCAUUGGUCCCGUAUUUGCCGUGCUCCCAAGAAGGUUGUAGAUGAAUAUCAUUCUCGUCGUAAGAAGUUUGAAUCAAACUUCAUGCAAGUGGACGAACCGGAGACUACAAAGAUUGAGGUUUCUGACUUUCAGGAGGAUACCACUCUUAUGGAAGAUUAGAAUCUUAGACAUAGACUUCUUUUUUAGUUGAAAUAAGACAAUUGGGGCCGAAUUCCACCUAGUGGCCGCACCCCACCUUGUUUUUGGUUGAUUUUGAACAAUUUUCCUUUAUGUUUUUGGAUUAUUAGUUGGCGAUUUAUUUUGGAUAUUCAAUUUUAAUCCUUGAAUAAAUGAAAUUAUUUUGAAUUGAUACUUGUUUUUAUAAACUUUUAUGCAUGUGACCAAUUCAAAUUAAUUUUUCAUUCUAGGUAUGACUAGUGGGAAAGUUAGUUGUCUGGCAGAUAGUGCAACCACGCAUACUGUUUUGCGUGAACGCAUCUAUUUCACUAACUUCGUACCUAAGAAUGCACCUCUGACAACCCUCUCAGGCCCAUCCAACCUGAUAGAAGGAUACGGUAAGGCACAUAUAAUGUUGUCCAAUGGUACAAUCUUGACCAUUGCUGAGGCACUCUAUUCUCCACGUUCCGGAAGAACGUUACUAAGUUUCAAGGACAUUAGAGAUAACAAUUACCACGCUGAAACCUACGUAGAAAAAGAAGUUGAAUUUUUGUGCGUAACUUCCUACGAAUAUGACCAGAAGCGUAUUCUAGAGAAGAUUGAGCGUAACCCGAAUGGUCUGUAUACUACGACCAUACGCCCCAUCGAAUACCACUAUGUGGCCGGCCCUACCACAGGGACCGUGCAUGAAAUUACACUUUGGCAUGAUCGUUUGGGACAUCCUGGACGAAUAGCGAUGCGCCGUAUCCUCAAAACUUCACACCGGCAUCCACUAACCCAAAGCUUAGGUUCGAUCCAUGAAAUCGCAUGUCAAACAUGUUCUAUGGGAAAACUUAUUACUAAGCCUUCUUAUGACAAUAUUCGUUCGAAUCCUCCCAUUUUUCUACAACAGAUUCAGGGGGACAUUUGUGGACCGAUUCAACCUCCCUGCGGACCAUUUAGAUAUUUUAUGGUUUUGGUUGACGCUUCUACACGUUGGUCACACGUGUGCUUAUUGUCCACAAGGAACGCUGCAUUCUCCAAACUGUUGGCUCAGGUUAUCAAGCUUAGGGCUCACCACUCUGAUUAUCCGAUCAAAUCUAUUCGAUUGGAUAAUGCUGGAGAAUUCACAUCUAAAACUUUUGAUGACUAUUGCAUGUCGGUUGGGGUUGAAGUUGAACAUCUUGUACCCCAUGUUCACACCCAGAACGGCCUGGCAGAGGCUUUCAUUAAGCGUUUACAAAUGAUUGCUCGAUCAUUGGUCAUACGUACCAAGCUCCCGAUCGCUGCUUGGGGCCAUGCAAUAUUGCACGCAGCAAAGUUGGUCCGCCUGAGACAUGUUGCGACACAACCAUUUAGUGCCCUUCAGUUGGUCACCGGAUGAGAACCCGACAUAUCGCAUCUGCGCGUUUUUGGUUGUGCGGUCUAUGUGCCGAUUUCGCCGCCCUUACGUACAAAAAUGGGGCCUCAACGAAGGAUGGGAAUCUAUGUCAGAUAUGAUUCUCCUUCGAUUAUUCUUUACUUAGAACCUUUGAAAGACGAUCUGUUUACCGCUCGUUUCGCAGAUUGUCACUUCUAUGAGACAGUCUUCCCGCCGUUAGGGGGAGAUAAGAACGUCAACGUUCCUAAUGAACGACGUGAAUUAUCGUGGACGACUCCCACUUUGUCUCAUUUAGAUCCCCGCACCGCUCAGUUUGAAGCUGAAGUGCAGCGCAUAUUAGAUCUCCAGAGCAUAGCUCAGAGCAUGCCAGAUGCUUUCACCGAUCUAGCACGAGUGAUAAGAUCACAUAUUCCAGCUGCGAAUACGCCUGCAAAGAUAGAUGUACCAAAUGUACGACGGACUACCCUCCUGGAAGCCUGGGACGCCAAUUCUGGUGAUCCACGUACAUUAGCGGUUAGCCAAUCAUCUGCCCCUACACAAAAACGUGGCAGACCCCUUGGUUCAAAGGAUUCACACCCCCAGAAGAGGAAAACCACGGCACAAGGUCCUGAAGAGCCUACUGUGAAUCCGACUAUCGCUUACUCAUUUUACCCAACUCAUGAGGAAAUUCUAGAUUAUGGAAGCGUCCUUGAAGAGAUGAAUCCUCCUCCCGAAUCGUGAGAUUUCGGUCUAUUAUGCUAGCUUAGAUGAUGUGUGGCGUAGAAAUGAGAUGAUUGUCGACGAUGCAUUAGCAUUUGCAGUAGCUACUGAGAUCAUGUUGAGCGAUGACAUUGAACCGCGUUUCGUUGAUGAAUGUCGACGUAGAGCUGAUUGGUCAAACUAGAAACAAGCAAUCCAAGUCGAACUUGAUUCACUUGCGAAACGUAAGGUGUUUGGACCUGUAGUUCUUACCCCUCCACAUGUGAAGCCCGUUGGCUACAAGUGGGUUUUCGUUCGGAAGCGUAAUGAGAAGAACGAAAUUGUGCGUUACAAAGCUCGUCUUGUAGCACAAGUUUUCUCACAACGCCCCGAGAUUGACUAUGACGAAACUUACUCACCCGCUAUGGAUGUGAUUACUUUUCGAUACCUUAUCAGUUUGGUAGUUUCCGAAAAACUGGAUAUGCAGCUGAUAGACGUAGUAACCGCGUAUCUCUAUAGGGAUCUUGGUACGAAAAUUUAUAUGAAAGUUCCCGAAUGACUUACAUUGACUGGUUCAAAUAUUUCCAAACCCCGGAACACGCUCUUAAUUCGGCUGAGGCGUUCACUAUACUGUUUGAAACAAUCCGGAAGAAUGUGGUAUAACCGUCUGAGUGAGUAUUUGACUAGUCAGGGAUAUGUGAACAACGAACUAUGCCCUUGUGUGUUCAUUAAGAAGUCACAUUCUGGAUUUGCGAUUGUUGCAGUAUAUGUCGAUGACAUGAAUCUCAUCGGAACUCCUGAAGAGCUCGCGAGAACUGUUUCGCACCUGAAGUCGGAAUUUGAGAUGAAAGAUCUAGGAAAGACUCGAUGCUGUCUCGGUCUCGAGAUAGAGCAUUGUUCGGAUGGAAUCUUAGUACAUCAAUCGAACUACACCCAGAAGGUGUUGCGCCGUUUUAAUAAGGAUAAAGCGAAGUCUUCGAGUACUCCUAUGGUCGUUCGUACGCUAGAUGCAAAGCAAGAUCCCUUCCGUCCAAAGGAAGAUGAUGAAGAUUUUGGAGCCUGAAGUUCCUUAUCUAAGUGCGAUAGGCGCUUUAUUGUACUUAGCUCAAUGCACUAGACCCGACAUCUCAUUCGCUGUUAAUCUUUUGGCAAGAUACAACAAUGCACCAACACGCAGACAUUGGACUGGCGUGAAAGACAUCUUCCGUUACCUUAAGGGUACUACGAAUUUGGGCUUAUUCUAUCACUACGAAUCCUCGAGUGAUACCGCACCCUAUGCUCAUCGGGUUGAUUCUCACCUUGUUGGUUAUACCGACGCUGGAUACUUAUCUGAUCCGCACAAGGCGCGUUCUCAAACGGGUUAUGUCUUUACCGUUGGAGGCACCGUAAUAUCUUGGAGGUCAACUAAACAGACCUUAGUUGCCACUUCGUCUAACCAUGCUGAAAUUCUCGCCUUACAUGAAGCAACUCGGGAAUGCUUUUGGUUGAGAGCAGUAAUGGGCCAUAUUCGAAGCUCCUGUGAUCUUCAUCCCGCCGUUAAUGCCCCGACGACGAUUUUUGAAGACAACGCAGCUUGCAUCGAACAGCUCAAGAAGGGUUACAUCAAAGGAGACAACACCAAGCAUAUUGUGCCGAAGUUCUUCUUUACACAUCAACAACAAGAGCAUCAGAAGAUUGAAGUCACGCAAAUCUGAUCACAAGACAAUCUGGCCGACCUCUUCACCAAAUCACUACCGAAGGCGACGUUUCAUAAGCUUGUUCAUGGAAUUGGUAUUUGUAAACUUUCUGAGUUGUAACUUUGCUAUUUCUCUUUGGAAUUAUGUCAAACUCAGGGGGAGUAUCUUCUGGAUACUUGCUUGAUCUUAAUGUACUCUUUUUCCAUACGAUUAGGAGCAUUUUUCCCACUGGAUUUUUGCUACCUAACUAGGUUUUAACGAGGCACCCACCUUGGGCUGGUCAUAUCCCUGAUGACGUCCUGUAGACGUUUCUUUUGACUUUGCAUUUCUCACGCAUUUUUCCUUAGACUAUGGAUUUUGUCCCUACUUGGGUUUUUGCCAUAGCCUUAGGGUUUUUUAGUGAGACUUACUACUUAUGCAAGUUCCUACCUUAUUAAGAAUAAGCGUUGUUCCUUGGAAUCAGUGCCGACGAGUCGACUUCCUCAACUUCUGCAUGAUGCUAAAUCUACCUUAAGUAUUUGCACACUCAAGGGGGAGUGUUGUAAACAUUCCUAGAAUAAGUAUGAUUGUGUAAAUCCUAGAUUAGAUUUGAUUCUAGUUAUCAUUUCCUAUUACAACUUGUAUUACUUAGAGGAGAAGGAAUAUCUUCUCUCCCUUUACUACUAUAAAUAAAGGCACAAUGUAGGAGGGAUAACAACACACACAUUUCCCUACAAUUCUACAAACACACAUCUCUCUUCUCCCUCCCACUGCCGCCGGCCCUCUCUAUUUUGUCAGAUAAAAAUAGACCACAACAAUAUAUAUAUUUAUUUCGGUUUGGUUCGGAACUACGGAAAAAAUGGAAAUGUGAGACCGAUUCUUGUACCGAAAGUUCGUGAUUGGUUUUAUAUUUUUUCGGUUUAGUUUCAGAAUUUUUUUGGUUCGGUUUGACAUUUUCGGUAUUUUUUUCCCACCCUUAUGAAUAGCCAUGUCUAAGUAAGUUUUUCGCUGACUCUCAUAAAAUAGAUGCGAUUUUCCUCCCACCCCGCCUCCAAAGUGGCCUCCACCGCUGGGUUAUUGAACAAGUUUUUUAAAACAUUGGUAUAAUUUCAUUGAUGAUAUAGCUGAAUCAAAAUUCAAUACUAAAUUUAUUAUUAUGCAAAAAAAAAAAAAAAAAAGAUCAAUGUCGUGUAAAAGCAAUCACGCUAUAGCUGUUUAAGUGAAUGAAUCACAUCACACAAAAUUAACUAUAUACCGCCCCGGAAAAUAAUCUAAGACAACAAAGCCAAAGCAAUGGACAAAAAGGUAGCGGAAAGGCCAGCGGCGCCGAGAGAAGCUGCUGCAUUUGGUGGUGGUGGUGCAGAACCUUCGGGUGUCGGUGACGAAGGAGUAUUUGGGCUGGUUGGACUUCCAGGUGGAGGGUUGGCACUAGAGCCUGGAGGGGUGGCACUGCUGCUUGGAGGAGUGGCCGUGGAGGAAGGUGGCGUGGCGGUGGUACUACCGGAGGUGACAUUGAUGGCAAGCUUCUGGCCUCCGGCACAGUGGCCGGUGAAAGUGCAGAUGAAGAAAUUCUCGCCGGUGGAGUUGAGAGUGAUUCUCGUUGGUGGGUUAGUGAACAGGGCAAGGGUGCUGCUGGUGUUGCAUGAGUCGUAGUUUGCCUUGGUCACUACUGCCACGUCGUGUGUUCCGUUCGAAUAGUUGAACACUGUACAAUAGACAAUCAAAAUCAACACCUUAACACUAAUUAAUUUGUAAAUACGUAAAUUUUUUAGUAGGUCAAAAUACUAACUAUUUUGAUUUGCCUGAAAAGUCAUCGAACUCAAAAAUAAAAUAAAUACAUUGUUCGAACCAAUUGACUUAACUCAUAUUUUAAGAUAGGUUUGAGAUUGUUUUAUAAUUAAUAAAAAUGUUUUUUGACAUAGGAAAGUAUUUAUGAUAUUCACAAAAAACACUUAAAAUUGAUUAUGCGCUUCUAUGUCACAAAAACAGGUCUAAAAGAACACUUUCAAAAAAAUAUUUUUAAGUAUUUUCCAAAAAUCAGUUCAACGUAACCUUAUGAGCAGAAAUACUUGCUUAAAAAACAAAUCCAAACAGGACCAUAUUUAGCGCAAUUGAGGCAUACCUAGAGUGUCACCAACCACAAAGGUUUUGUUAGCAGCCCAAGUUUGGUAAGAGCCCGGAGGGAGGACAGUCCAUCCGCUGUUGUUGCCAACGGUCCAAGUGACAGGUGCUCGUGAGGAGCUUGGUGUUGGUGCUGGGGAAGCAGCAGGGGUAGGAGUACUAGUACUCGGAGCUGGUGCGGGAACAGAGGCCGGUGGUGAAGGAGGAGGAGAAAUAGUACUCGGAGCUGGUGCCGGAACAGAGGCCGGUGGUGAAGGUGAAGGGGGAGGAGUAGUCCUUGGAGCCGGAGCAGGAGAAGAAGCUCCGGUCACACUGAUAGACAAUUUCUGACCGGCACUGCAAUGGCCAGAGAAGGUGCAGAUAUAGUAAUGCUCCCCUGAAGAGCUAAGCGUGAUAUUUGUAGGGCUGGCAGUCUCCAAAGUAAUGGGAUUAGUUGCAUUGCAAGCAUCAAAAGCUGCCUUUGUCACUUCCGCCACGUCGUGAUUUCCGCUGCUGUAUGUGAAUACUGCAAAGCAGAAAGUUCAAGAAAUUAGUAUGGAACAUCGAAUUAAGUUUACAAAAUGAAAUGGUUAUCAGACGAACGCUUAUUUAGGCUAACAUUAGUAUGAAAUAUGAAAUUAAGUUUACAGAUACGAAAUAGUUAUUAGUCGAACACUUGUUUAGCUGAAAUUAGUAUGAAAAAUGAAAUUAAGUGUACAAAAACAAAAUAGUUAUCAAAUGUGCGCGUCAACUGAAAUUAUAUAUACCAAGAGUGUCGCCGACAGUGAAGGUUUUGUUGUCAGCCCAUGUAGUGUAAGCUGCGGCGCCACCGGAAGGGAUGGACCAACCCAACCCAUCACCCACUUGGUAAGUAGUUGCCGCUGACGCUAAGCUCAUCAGCAAAGCGGCCGCCACCACGGCUGCGAAAAACGCCAUGUUUGUGUUCCUUGCCAUUGCCCUUGUGUUCUUUGAAGGUCAGGUCGCCCCUGUUUUUUCCUACUCUCUUUUUUUUUCCUCUGUUCUUGAAAACUUGUAAAGGUUUUGUUUCUAGAGGGUUUGUCACUGUCAUCCUUUAUAUAGAGGAAGGCUUUGUGAAACCACAAAUUUUGGCUGUUUGUGCCGUUGGAUGGAUGCCACGUCUGCGGUUCUGUGAGUAAUAUGGACGGUUCAGAUUUGGUGACUGGGUCAGGUCUGCCGAGAUAUGGGACUUGGUGAAACUCAGACUUCCGUGUGAGAGGAUGAGAGCUCUCACCAAAAAAAUGUGACCAUCUUUGUGCGUUGACCAGUCAUUGCUUUAUAUUAAAUUAUAGAUUUGGAAACUAGGAAGGUUUUCUCUGGAAAGAAUAGUUAAUAAUUGGAGCAAGUGAAUAAAAGUGAAGGAACGGCUGCGUCCCAAAAAAGGACAAAAGGUAAAAGGAAGGAGUAGGACCCAUAUAGAGUUACCAAGGAAAUUUCCUGAGAAAUAAUGAAGUAAUAGUAGUAGGCCAAGUGUGAAUUAGGAAUUUGUCAAACCUGGACUGUAGCAGUAGUAGGCCAAAUGUGGAUUCGUAAAAGCCUAAUUGUAAAUUAGUGCGACACUUACUAAAAUUUAUUUUUCGAUAUUUGAGGUAUUCCACACCUUGAAAGGUAUGAUUAAUUUUCAAUGGGGUUCAGAAAGGUUAAAGCAUUUUAGUUUAUCUCUAGCUAUAAUCAAAUGAUACAGUCAUUUCAAAACUUUCAACUAGAGAAACACUUGUGUUUUUGCUAGCUUUAUAUCUCAAAUCUAAGACCAGAAAGCAAACCAGACUUGAAAUCUACUGCAUUUCCACUAAACCACUUACCAUAGUUUCUUUUUAUUUAUUAGGGUUUACUACUGUUUUUCUGUUGUUCAGAAUUAGUUCUUUACAAAUACAACUUUGUAACUCAAUAAGAGAAUGAGGGUUUGAAUUUCCGAUGGUAUAGCCGUCUUGGCAAUUUGAUUUGUUAACAACCAUAAAUAAUUCUAAAAUAAACGAACAAGUAGACGAACUGACAAUAAAGAACUGUUUUCUUCACCUAACUCUUACAGCUUACAUCAAGUACUAUCCACUUGUUUAUCUAAGGAGUUACUCAAUUUAUUCUAUUAUAAUCCUAGAUACCAACCGAAGCCUUCACCUUUGCUUUUCAUGAAAAACACUUCCAUAUCUCGGUGCUAAUAUACAUUACAAUAUUCCUCUUUCCAUCUCUUUCUCCACAUGCGUGGUAAGGUUAGGUGAGGAAAGAGAGAGAGAGAGUAAAACCCAUCUAGGGUGGAAAAAAUUCUUGAAAAUUCCGAACCAAACCGAAAAAAUCCUGAUCCAAAACCAAAAAUUUUUUAAAUUGAAAUUUCUGAAAUUUUUGGGAUGCUAUCCCGAACCGAUCUCGAAAUUUCGAUACGGGAUUUGGGAUUGGCUUCUCGAUAUUUCGGGAAUCCCAUACCGAACCGAAAAUAUAUAAUAUUAAUUAUUAUAUAUAUUUAUACAUAUAUGUUAUAUAUAUGUAUUAUUCUUUUAUAAUUGAUAAUAGUAGUUUCUAAUUCAUGCUCCGCAACUUGGAAUGCCCUACACCUUGCAAAUUUUGCAUGUUCUGUUUGAUAUUCAUUUGGAUUUUAUUAUUGCUACUGCCAUGACUGAUGAUUUCAGAAGGCUUGAUUCUUUUGUCUCUCAACAGAUUGCAAAAAUGGUUUAAUUAAUUUGAAUUUUGACUUUGAUAAAAACAGUCAGGCAUGCCUAGAUUAAAUGGUAGUCAGGGGUGGAUCUAUAUAGGGACCGGGGUGGUCCCGGGAUCCUCCGAAGAUAGGGAGAAACGCUUGUGAAGUACCAUGGAGGACCACCCUAAACUUUAGAUGGAGCUCUAUGAAGGACUGGAUGGGAUAAAUCAUUGUGAAAAAUAAAAAUUAGGUAUAAGAUCCACAACUAAACUGGGUUUUCUUUGCCGGAGUUUGAAUAUGUAGUUGCAGAACUGGCUGGGUAAAGUGAAUGAAGAAGACCGAUUGUGUUUGCACUUCUGUCUUGUAUGGAAACGGUACUGUUUUUGCUUUUUUUUUGUUUUUGUUUUUUUUUUCCUUCUUAUCUCUUUUUCCAGUUGGACCCAAUAUCUUGUUUCUAAAUAUUUUUUUUUAUCCCAUUUUGCCGUUUGGCCCUUUUUUAUAUCCCUGCAAUAUAUUGAAAGCUAAACAUAAUUGUAACCUUUUAAAUUAAUAGCCUUCACCUCAUAAUUAUUAAUAUCUCAUAAGAAAGAAAACCUUUUAAUUUACUAGUAUUCUUAAAAAAGAAAAAAAAACUUUCAAUUUACUAGUUCUCAAGAAAAUUGACACUAAAUAUUGUGGUAAGGCUUUUAAUCUUUAAGGGCGUGUUUGUUACACCUCUUUAGGAGGGAUUGGCUUGAACUACCUUAAGUAGGACUAUAAUCCUACGUUUGGUAGGUUGUGGGACUAAAAUAAAUGGGACUCGCCUCGACUACUAGUCCAUGCGUGUUUCGCUAAACCUUUCAGCCUAAUCCCAUGUUUUAGCUUGGUAUUACUAUUAGCAAGGACUAGAAGAAGGAAACCAGGCCAACAUCUAUCCCCACUUUCACUUGCUAAACCCCCAGUCCAUCCACGCUCCGCUUUCUUCUGCGGAGCCGUCACCAUAGCUAGGCCGUUGGCGGUGCCCCACCUUCAUCUUUUGUGUGACCAAGAUUCGGUGCCGUCGAGGGAGGACGACGACGAGGUCGAAGAAGAAGAGAUCGUCGACGACCAAGAUUCGGUGUCGUCGAAGCUACUGAAAGGAAUAGCGCUGCAGUCGCACACUCUAGAGCAUUCUUGGACCUUUUGAAGUUCUGGUUUAAUUUUGAGUUCUGGAGUUCUGGGAUAAUUUUGUUUGGUUGGUACGAAAACUUACAUGGAUUUUGUGUUGCAGUGUGGAGUUCUGGGUUUAAUUUUGAUGUUAAUUUCUUUCAUUUCCUUUUUUUUUGGGGUUUAAUUUUGAGUUCUGGGUUAAUUUUGUUAGGGCCUCAAAGUCUCUUUCUUAAAGGAAUAUACAGUGUGUGGUCUUUGUCAUCACCGACAUGCUUUGCUCAUCUCAAUUUUCUAGUGUUUUACGCUGCCCAUAUACAACGCGGCGUUGCAUUUCUUUCUUAAUUUCCUGUUCUCCUAUAAACAAAAAAUUGGGUCAAUAUUUUAGUCCGACACUUAAUCUGGCACUGCACCAAACACUUCAUUAUUUUUAUCCUGUUUAGUCUAAGCCAAGCCAGUCCAGCUUAAUCCCUAAAGCUAGUCCAGUCCAAGAUAGUCCGGUGCAACAAACGCACCCUAAAAGACAAAGCAGGGAUGCCCAUGUACACACAAAGUGCUCAAUGAAGUGUUCAUUUAAAAAAUAGAGAAAAAAAAUUACCCGCUACACACUAUUUCCGUUUACAAAAUCUUUAAAUCUUUUAUACUAGGACCACCUGAGGUUGAAAUCCUGCAUCCGCCACUGAUGGUAGUGUGAAUGAAAUGACAUUCCUAAUUCACGAAUGUGUUCUUGAAUUAUAUAUUUGAACAACAAUUCAUAAUUUCAUAUUUCAAUUUGGGAUUCCCGGUUUGUCCCGAAAUCCUGAAAAUAUUUCGGGAUUUCCGAAAUUUGGGAUUCUCGAAAAUUUGGUUUGGGAUUGGUCUUCAAAUUCCCGUCACAAAAAAUUUCGGUUUGGGAUUCGGGAUACUAGUUUUGGUAUGGUAUCCCAUACCGAACCACCCCACCAUCAAUGGCCACUGUUCAAUCCGUGCGAAUACUGGCAAUAACCAAAGACAACCCGUCGUGUUGAUCGACAUUGCCAGAAUUUUAUCAUUACCAGAAAGCCAGAAUAUUUAUAGUGUUUGUGGUACUGCACUACAGAGCAGAAUAUAUACAUAUUCACAAAGCAAAGAAUAAUAAUCAAACUUGUUACUUAAAGGCACAACGUGGCUGCUUUAAUUUGCCCAUAUGCUCUUUGAGUUUUUGUUAUUUUUUUAGACUAUAUGUUGCUUCAAUUCCCUAAAAAAAUUCCCUAGCAUUGCCGGGGUUCCUUAGUGACAAGGGACUAGAUUUCUCUUUAUUACAAUCAAUAGUUUACACUAAGGAGAAUGAGGACGUUAACCAUUAGAGCAAUCCAUCACUUGUAGAACGAUAUUUCAUUUCACUAGCAAAGAUAAGGAAAGAAUAUAUGUGGGCUCAUUCCAUUAGUCCGAAAAUUUUACACAUAAUUGUCAGCAACUAGCUAGCUAGCAACUUAUUGGAAACAAAAGAUGGAGUUGGCAAAUUAGAAUAUAUAGUUUUCAUUAGAUCACAAUCCUAAGUAAGCAAAUAAAAUUAAGAAGUCCUCUGAACAUGAUCCUAGCAAGUGGCAAUUAAUUAGAUAUGUAUACUAUAUUUAAUUCAGUUUCAAACUUCUGCCUUGAUUGUGGACAUUGAUAAUAAAUAAAAUAACAUAUGCUCGGAAUUAUAUUCUUUGCAAUUGAUUAGUUUAAACAAGGAGACUUUGCUCCAACUAGACCAAACUCUAUGGUUUGUUUAUUUGUUUUAAUAUAAUUUUGAUUAACCAACUCCAUCGUUGGUUUCUAAGAACUUUCAAAGUGACUGACUAUUUCCAAGUGAUUAUUUUUUCAUAUUAGUAAGUGAGAUGUUGAAAGCAUAAGUUUUUGUGAUUCGUUAAUUUCUUAGACAAGUAAAAUGUGUCUGUAAUAGAUUUAGUGCUAGAUUUUAGAUAUGUUCUAGUAUUUAGGUUCGUGAUUUGAAGGCUUGCACGUCAACGGCAAUAAAAAGUAAUCUGAUUCCGUGAAUGACUUAAGGUAAACUUCACAUGCAUCAUUUUUGGAAAAUAUAAUUUAAGUGUUAACAUUUUAUUAGGAUAGUGAGAUCAAAUAAAAUCAAUUCCUGAUAUAAAUCAAUUUAGUUUACGGUUAAAGUAUAAUAUAGAUUUACUCAAUUGUAGGCCGGUUAAUUUGAUUCUCACGUCCAUUAAAUAAUGUUAUAUAGUUUUCCAUCAGGUUUUCUAUCUUUGCCAACCAUAAUUUUGUGCGAGAAAAAAAAUUAAGGUAAGGAAUUUGUAUGCUAGGGUAGAGGAGUGAAAUCCAAGUAAAAUGCUUUCUUCUAGCUCUCAUAUCAUCAUUCAUAAUUUGUUCUAGCUCGCAGGCGAACCUUCGUGCGAAAACAAGAGGACACUGCGAUAUUUGAGUUUGUAAGUUGUGUCUUGUAUGAGUCUUUGGGUUUGUUGUUUGCUCUUAGUGGAUUAUUUUCUGCCAGGGUACCCUGACUUUCUCCAGUAUGUGUGGGGUUUUACCACAUUAAAGAAAUCCUCGUGUGUUCGUCGUAUUUUAUUUUCUAUUUAUUUACUGUUGCGCCACAAGUGUUUCAAUCUUGCAAGUUUGGGUGUUUUUAUUUGGGGCUGUUUAUCUGUUUUGAGUUCCUCGAUCCGUUUGCAUUUACAAAUCUAGAUUUAGUGAUAUUUCUCUUCAUUUAAUUCAUAUGCAUAUGACGAUGGCUUCUGAAAAUCAUGUUGAGUUUUAUAUCUAUAUAUGAUUGCUAUUGUGUGGUUUAGUAUUAAUAUCUUCUCCCUUUAAAAAUAAAAAGGGGCAAGUUAAUUGAAAAAGGGGACAAAAAAUAGGCAAUUGGCUGCACUUAUUUGUAUUAACCAAAGUAAAGGAACGUACAUACAGAUAGAGCCAGGUUUAUUACGAAUUGGUAAAGGUGAAUACAAAAGCAAAAUCAUAACUAUAAAUUAAAUAAAAUAAAUACAGCCUCAUGGUAUGUACUGCAAAUGUAUGGAACAUAUUCCAAGGGAAUUAUAAAAAUCAACAUAUGAGCUAGCUGGUGACUAAUGAUCAAUAGAAGAAAGCUGCCACGGCAAUGAGCAAGAAGGUGUAGCCGCCACCAAUCCUGGACGGGGCUGAGCUGAAUGGAGGAGAAGCAGCGCCUGGCCCACUAGCGUAGGGAGUACUAUGCGAGGAAGGUGCUAUGGAACCGGAUGGUGAGUCAGACGAUGGUGGUUGGGCUGUGCUCCCGGAUGUCACGUUAAUGGCUAGCUUUUGGCCUAAUAAGCAGCGCCGAUCGUAGGUGGAUAUGAAGAAAUGCUCACCGGUGGUGUUGAGAAGGAUACUCACUGGACUAUUUUUGUAAACGGCGAUAGUGCUGUUGGUGGUGCAGUUUUCGUAAGCUGACUUGGUCACCGUAGCCACAUCGUCUUGUGUCCCAUUGACAAAGUUGAAAACUACAAAAGCAAGAAAGUAAAACAUUGUCAAGGAAUUAAUAAUUUAUAUGUAAGCAACAGAAUUUGAUUAGCGUUUAAUUAGUCUAGUUAUGAAACAGUCGUCGAUAAAUUUACGUUAUCAUCAACAUCGAUAUAGUUACCUAGAGUGUCUCCGACAAUGAAAGUCUUGCCAUAGGCCCAAGCUUCAUAAGCAUAUUCACCGCCUGGUAGGACAAGCCAACCCAAUUUAUCACCAACGACGUAAGUCACUGGUCCUGAUCUGGGUGCAGGGCUUGGAGCAGGUGAUACAUGUUCCGCAGUCACGUUAAUGGCCAGCUUUUGUCCCAACUCGCAGUGCUUGUCCUUGGUGCCAAUGAAAUAGUACUCUCCAGUGGUGUCCAAAGUGAAGUUGGCCGGACUGGUUGUUAUAAGUUUGAUGGGGUCUGUCGAGUUGCACUUGUUGAAAGCUUCCCUUGUGACCCUCGCUACAUCCUGGUCACCGUCGGUAAAGUUGAACACUGAAAAAUGAACAACAUAAAUUCAUCAAACACAGGUCUACUUGGAAAUGCUUUCGUAAAAAAUAUUUAUACUCAGAAGCGAGUGCUUCUAUUAGAAGCAUAUCAAACUUUCUGAAGCAAAUACAAAUGUUUUUUAUUUUUUAUUUUUGACAAAGCACUUCAAAUACUUUUUGAAGAAAUUAUUGCUGUGUUUCGUUAAAAAAAAAAAUUUCAAAUGCUUUUCUUAACCCAUAAACAUUUUAAACUUUAUCUGCCAACCGUUCUUAGAAUAGUCUAUUGUGAUACGAAAUCGUUUAAUCUAAAAGCACUUCAAAACAUUUUAGCUAAAAAUUGCUAAAAAUAGUGAAACUUGAGUAUAUAUGUUACAUACCAAGAAGGUCACCAACGGCGAAAUGCUGCGUAGCUGCCCAGGUUUCAUAAGUGUAGUUACCGCCGGGAGGAACCAGCCACCCGAGAAGUUCUCCAACGACAUGGGUUUUCUGUGCUGCAGUGGAGUGAAGCAGACCAACCACUGCUAUGGCUAGAAUGGCUAUUGUGAGUUCUCUUCCCAUAUUGUCUCUUCGUAUUUUGUAACUGCUUUUUUCUUUGUUUUGCUCUCUUGUUUUUAUGUACUAGCGUCUGUUUAUGUGAAAAAUGAGAUUUGGGUUGUGAUCUUUUUAUAGAGGUUAGAAGGAAGAAGUUAUACGGAAGCUUCGGUGAUACUUUGACAAAUGAUAUAGCAAAAUUGCUUCCCCAAUUUUCUGCUCGACCAACUUCUUCAAGGAUGUCUAGAACCUAAGGACCAAUUUACAAUUGACGUGGACCCAGUUUGAAUAAUUAAAUGCUAACGUGCUUGAAUGCCCUUAAUUACAUCUUUUAGUUAGAUUAUGUGCUACUUGUCUUGAAAGAAAUGAAAAAAAAGAAACAAAUCAAUAGCAUAUUCCAUUUGUAUUUGUUAAUUUUGCAUAAAUAAAUACAGAUGGGAUGGUAAGAUAAAACACUAAUUAGCUUGUUAAUUUGUAAAUGAAAUCUUAUUAUUCAUGAUUUCUCUUUUAUAGAUUUCUUUGUGCAAAGAUCAAAACCCUAGUGUGUAAUUUCCUUUUAAUUUUUUUAUUAUGCAGCCAAGAUUAACGAGCUUGAAAUGAUCCACGAUCUUCAGUGUAGUUAACGCGUUUUUGACCAUCUCUAGUUAUCUUCUAAAAGACCUUUUUAUUUGCCCUGCAUAUAAUUUGAUAUAGUUUUAAAACCCAGCUAGGAUAAAGAGGUCAGAGUUCUAAACUUUUGAUUAUCUAGUUCUUGCCUGGAGAUUGCUCUACCUCGAUUCUGUGUGACCAAAUUUCCAAGAAUAGCAUCAUCUUUGCCAUGACAAUAUUGAGAUUAUCUUACCUUUAAUGACAACAGAAGUUUUAUGCCGCCAUUAACUUUAUAUUAUAUUUAUUCAAGGGGUGAUUUGUUUAAGUCACAAAAUAUUUUUAGCACUAGAAUUGAAUCAAUCAACAUUUGUGCUCUUCACAAGUGUCAAUAAAAGAGAAAUACUAAAAAGGGUACGUAGUGAUCUUGGUUGGAGAGGAAAGUUGGUUUUAUUGGCCUUAGUUGAAGAAAUAAUUAAAUUUAUUGACGUAUUCUAAAGAAUCAAAUAACACGUAUACGAAAAUAUAAAAUUAUUUAUUGAUCUAAACUAAUUUUUUUUGUUGAAGAAUUACUAGUCCAUUAUUACUGCAUGAUGAUCGCCAUUCCAACAAACAUGCGUACACUAUCUCUGUUACAUCUAUGAUGGAAAUAAUUCUUUAAUUCCUGCAUUAAAAUAAUAAUAUCACCAAUAUAUUGAUUAAAAUAAAUCAUAAGAAAUUCAAAGUUUGCUAUCUCAUAGUGUGUGUAUAUAUGGGAUGUCUGUGUGUGUUUGUGGGUGUUGGUUAGGUGGAGGGGGAGGGGGUUUCUUAAUUUCAAUGUUGUAAUUCCUAGCAGAUACGCAAAGACAAACUUGAGUAGGUCAAGGUCGAAUCAGAAAACAGGAAUCAUUAUUAACCGAAAAUUAAGAUAUCUAAUUGCAAAUGGGUCGUAAUCAAAUACUUUGUCAGCUUAUAAGAAAAUUAUAUACAACAUGCAGACCAAUGAUGUGGAGUCUAGAGUUGGUGGACAAAUCAACCUUUGGUUGUUGGGCUUUCCUAUUUCAGUUCCAUUCAUUAUUUAUUAUGCGGAUUAAUAUUAGACGAAUGCGACGAGAGUUGAAAUUCUGUAUCGGGGUAUUAAAUUAAGGACAACUUUGUAUUUAUUUUAAAAGGUUCGGUUACUUCUCGUAUUAUUUAUAAUUAAUUUUUUGGUGAAAUAUCAACUUCUUUCAUGUUAUUAUAGUCACGUUGCCAAUGUGUUGAGCCUAACGGCCAACAUGCUCUCGUGACAUUCAAUAUGUGUUGUCCACGUUUUAAGAUUAGAUGACCAUACAUCUGAGGACAAUGUUGAGAGUGCAAAUCUCCCACCAGAGAAUUCAAGCACCUUGCACAUCCUUAUAAGAAGUUGAACUACAUUCUAUAUUGUCGAUUAGUUUUACAGUAAAACAUCAACUUAAGGUGCUAUUUAAAUGUGUCUCUCUCAGCCACACUUCUAGAAAAUAAAUAGAAGAAACAUCAGACCAAUGUAUCAAUUAAAACUUUUUAUACCAAGUUUUGAUUUUAAGGGCACUAAACGUGGAAAUAAUUCAGCAAUUUUUUUCUUAAUUAGAACGUGAGAAGACGACUUCUAGAAGCGCAUAUAUAUUAUGAAUCUUGCUUUGUUUGGCCGGUCAUCAUUGUCAUAUUGUAUUUCGUGAGCGGUGUGAACAGGGCAUCAAUUUGUUAUGCUUCAGAACCUUCCUCCCAAAACCCCAUCUUUAAUUUAAUGAUUUGCCAGAGUUUUCCAACUGGGCGGCUUCUAGGCUCAAACAAUAUGUAUAUGAAACUAGCCUUGUUUAAGGGCUGGUUUGAUAUGCUAUGCUUUGAGAAAAAACCACUUCUGUUGUGCUGUGAGAAUAAGUUCAUUUUUGCUACUUCACAUUUUUAGCUUUUUUUUCAUCCAAAAUUGUAAAAAUAAACUGUUGUUAAGUGUUUACCAAAUACCUUUUUGAGCUCAGCUUUUUAUACCUACUUUUUAUAAAAGCAUCUCGGUAUCAAACCAGUACUAAGUGGUUCUGUAAUAUUGAAUUCAUUUGAUUCCUCAGUACCAAACCAGUACUAAGUGGAUCUGUAAUAUUGAAUCCAUUUGAUUCCCCGGCCUCUAGGCAUAACAAUUUUUCUAUUCUGUUAAAUUGAUAUCUCUGUUAUAUCUAAAUUAAGUAAGUUUUUUUUCUUUCUGUUUUUUCUAAUUUAUUUUUAAGUAAUUCGUUAAUUAAUUUGCAUCAGCUUGAAUCUUAAAUUUCUUGGCUUAAUUAUGAGCUUAACACAACUCCGGUUAAUUAAAGACUAUAUCCGGUACCAUGAUCCCUUUAAAGUACAAAUGUUUUCUUCUGAGCCUUUACUUGUGAGGUGUCAAAUAAUGCACCCAUGAUGAUGCUACAACAAGUUUAAUAAUUCUGAUCACCAAUUAGUCAAUGAGCAAAGAUUGUCUGCCCUCCCACUUUUGGUGCUCUUAUGUUUUGUGUGGUCACGGUUAAGCCACGUCAAUAUUUUAUAUUGUUUUUUUUAUAGAGAUAGGUCGUACCCAGUGCACAAGGCUCCCGCUCUACGCAGGGUCUGGGAGAGGUGAAUGUCGGCUAGCCUUACCCCCAUUUUUUUUACAGAGAAAGGUCGUACCCAGUGCACAAGGCUCCCGCUCUACGCAGGGUCUGGGAGAGGUGAAUGUCGGCUAGCCUUACCCCCAUUUUAUGUUUGUGUGAUCAAGCCACGUCAAUAUUUUAUAUUACUAUUCAUUUUUAUCUUAUUAUCUCUAUAAAAAAAACUAUCUCCAACCGAGGGCCAAAGGGCCAUAGGGCCAAACAUAAUUUAUUAUUUAAAAACUAUAACUUAAAUGUUGUUUAACUUUCAUGUUGUUAAAUGUUUUUUUUAUGUUGUAUAAUUUUUAUGUUGUUUUAUGUUACUUAAUUUAAUUUAAUUAAUGUUGUAUAAUGGCUUAGGAAGUUAUAGGAAAAAAAUAGAAUAAAAAAAUACGAAACAAAUUUUGUGAAAUAGAAGUUAUAGGAAAAAAAUAAAAUUUAAAAUAAAAUGAAACAAAUUUUGUUAAAUAGAAGUUAUAGGAAAAAAUGGAAUUUAAAAAAAAAAUAUAUGAAACAAAUUUUGUAAAAUAAAAGUUAUAGAAAAAAAAAGAAUUUAAAAAAAAUGAAAAAUAGAAGUUAUAGGAAAAAUUUUGUAAAUAAAAAAUAAUAAUAAAACUGUUAAAAAAAAAUCAAAGUAUUCAACCGACAGGAAUACAUGCAUAUUAUUUAGUAUAAAUGUAUUAUUAUCGGUUAUAACCGACAGGAAAUCCGACACAUUUAAAAAAAAUUUGGCCAGCCCAGGGCUGACUGGUUGGCUGGAAGUGGCCAGCCCUUUGGCCCUCCAGCCCUUUUCGAUUCCGUGGGGCCUCCUCAGAUUCCACAGCCCUCUAGCCUGGCCCUCGGUUGGAGACAGUUUUCGGACUAUUUUUGGCCUUCUGACCAUUUGGACCAUUCGGUUGGAGAUGGCCUCACGGAUGGUUACUGAAAUCAUGUUCUUUUGCCUUGCAUGACUUUCAUAGACACAAAUUUGUUGGGGAUGGUCGCAUGAGCUUGAACAGAAGCAGUUGGACUUGGACUUGGGGGAGUGGUUGAAGACGGAGCGAAGUAAAUAGCUACCUUUUGCCCUCUGGGCAGUGCCCGGCCAAGGUGCUCGUGAAAUAAAACGUGUCGCUCCCGGUAAAUUUAAGCAUUGAUGGUUCAUUGAAAUAAAACAAGGGAUUCGAGGUGUUACACGUAUCAAAAUCUUCCUUAGUUAUUAUAGCCAAGUCAUCUUCUCUUGCAGUGAAGUUAAAUACUGCAUGUACAAACAACAAUAUAAUUAGCCUAAUUCUAUGUUGUUUUAUCUAGAGAAGUUAAUAUUGCCUAAUCUUUUAAUUUAUUUAUAUAUAAAAAAAAUAUAAUUAUGUGAUCGUUGUAAAUAUGUAUUAGUUGUUUCAGAUGAUGACAAAUGCACGUAGAUUAAGGUGCCUAAGUUGGCUAAGUUUGUUAUUGACAGUUAGCUUACUUAGUGACUAAGGAAAACCUUGUCUAUAUAUAUCUAUGUACUAAUGUAAAAUGAUGAUGAUGAAUAUACAAGAUACAAUUCUCUCUCUCUCUUUAAAACUGUUAUUCUCUCUCAAAUGUCUCUCUAUCUCUAUCAAGAACUUGUAUGGAAAACAAACGUCUCUCUGCAAUCUGACAUGGUAUCUUCGCCGGUGCUAGAGGUCUUCCGAUCCUGUGCUGCUUCUUGCUUCUACCUUCUUGAUCUGUAUGUUUUGGUGUGAUCUUUUACUCUCAUCUCUUUCCUCAUUGAAUUGCGACUUCUCUUUUCUGCUAAGUUCGCCUGUAAAGUUUAUGCAACAUUGUGCUCACCAACUGUCCGAUCAAUUGUGUGACUAAAAGUUUUUGAAUCGAUAUCAGUUUUCUUCUUUCGAAUUUGUCUCUGAGUUGAAUUCUUUAAGUAAUUCUGCCCAAUUUUCUUUCUGAAACCCUAAUUCUAUGAUUCUUUCACGAAUUAUUGAAUCUUUGCAUACUUUUCUCUGCAAACAUGGUGACUGUAGCACAAUUACAAAUUGUACAGUCUCUUAUUACAAAUCUCAUUCCGAAUGUCUCUAAUUCUGUUAUUGUGAAGCUUGAUGAUACAAAUUAUCUUGUGUGGAACUAUCAAAUUCGUUUGCUUCUUAAAAGCCAUGGUAUGUUCGACUUUGUUGAUGGCACUCGAACAUGUCCUACAAGAUUUAAAGAUGAUUUCGAUGUUGAAGGUGUUGAAACUGAGGAUUUUCAGAUUUGGAAAAUGCAUGAUUGUGCUAUAAUGCAGCUACUCAUUACUACACUGUCUCCAACAUCCAUGUCUUGUAUCAUUGGUUGUCUCAAUUCUCAUGAUAUGUGGACUAAUUUGAAGGAUAGGUUCUUUAUAGUUACAAAAGCCAGCAAUUUUUAAUUGAAAACUGAGUUGUAGAAUAUAAAGAAAGGUUUUGAUUCAGUCUCUCAGUAUCUUCAAAUGAUCAAAGAUGUUUGGGAUCAUCUCUCAGCAGCAGGAGUAAUUUUUAAAGAUGAUGACAUUGUUAUUUUGUCACUUAAAGGUUUGCUUGUGGAGUACAAUACAUUUCGAACAGUUAUGAGGGGGAGAGAUAAUGUGAUCUUACUAAAGGAUUUUAGAUCCCAACUAUUGGCAGAAGAAGCUAUUGUUGAAAAUAUCUAUGUGAAUGACACCUUUAUAUCUGCCAUGAUGGCAAAUGACAGGAAAGACAAAGGAAAUGCUCUGAUGCUUGGAGAAGAAUCCACUCAAUCUCAGUUACAAAAUCAUAAUGCUAGUGGAUCAACCAACACUAGCAAUUAUAAUGGUGGCUCUUCUAACUACAAUGGUGGAUACAAUUCUUCUUACAGAGGUAGAGGACGAGGCAGAAAUAACUACAGUUCCAACAACAAAAACAAUACUAGUUUCUCAAAUUCAAGUGCAGGGAUUCUUGGUCCAGGAAAGCAUCAUGUGUCUACAUGUCCUAAUCAUGGUUAUGAUAUUCCCAUUUGUCAAAUUUGUAAUAAACGAGGGCGCAUUGCAGCUAAUUGUUUUUAGAGACACUAAUCUUCCUCUACUCAAUCCUCCAAGCCACAAUGCCAAAUUUCUAGCAAAUUUGGACACAUUGCUUUGCAAUGUUAUCAUAGAGCUGAUUUUUCAUAUCAAGGAAGGGCUCCAUCACCCAAUCUCUCUGCUAUGUAUACUACCUUUCAACCAUCUGCACCACAUGAGCAAUUUUGGGUGGCAAAUACAGGAGCAACUUCCCACAUGACUUCUGAUUUAGCAAAUCUCAAUCUACCAACCUCAUUCUCUGGCAUAGAUACAGUAACCACAACUAAUGGUUUAGGUUUUCACAUCUCUCAUAUUAGUUCUAGUACAUUAAGGACAUCUUAAUAUGAUUUUGAACUGAAGAAAAUUAUGCAUGUUCCCCAUAUAUCUCAGCAUUUAUUAUCCAUUUAUAGACCAUGUAAGGAUAACAAAUGCAGAUUUAUGUAUGAUUAAUUCUCUUAUUGGAUCCAGGGCAAGGUCAUAGGGAGAAUCCUUUUCCAAAGACUGUGUAGAGUUAGCUUGUACCCCAUUCUCUUCUCUAUUCCAAAACAUCUCAUAAAUCAAGCACAACAAUCAUCUGCAUUACCUACAACACAAUCAUGUUUUCUUGGCAAGCAAGUCAAAAUAAUGUUGUGGUACCACAGGCUAGGACACCUCUCCAACAUUGUGACAUCUGCAAUGUUAAAACAAUCCAAUAUACCUAUGCAUGUUUCUCAUGUGUCUUCUAUUUGUAAAUCAUGUUUAGAGGGCAAGUUUACAAAACUUCCUUUUGUUUUUCCUACAAAUAAAACUGUAAAACCCUUGGAGGUUAUACAUAGUGAUGUUUGGGGGCCUUCAUCUACUGUUUCAGUUGAAGGUUACAAAUACUAUGUUACUUUUGUGGAUGAAUGUACUAGGUUUACCUGAAUCUUUCCAUUGAUAAAUAAAAGUGAAGUAUUCAGUAUUUUUGUUCACUUUUACCAGUUUUUUAAUACUUAGUUUUCUGCAAAUAUCAAAGUAUUUCAAAGUGAUGGAGGAGGUGAACACUUCAGUUAAAAGUUCAAACAAUUUUUGCUUGAUAAAGGUAUGGUUCAUAAAAAAUCAUGCCCUUAUACCCUUGAGCAAAAUGGUCUUGUACAAAGAAAGCAUAAACAUAUUCUUGAAAUAGCCGUUACACUUUUACAAAAUGCUUCAAUGCCCUAUAAGUAUUGGUUUCAUGCACGUGCUGCUUCUGUGUAUCUCAUAAAUCGAAUGCCCUGUCAAACCUUGCACAUGUCAUCACCAUAUCAAUACUUUUUUGGUAACUCUCCUCAGAUUUCUCAUCUUAAAAUCUUUGGUUGUGCAUGCUAUCCACUUUUAAAACCAUACAAUACUACUAAGUUGCAACCCAAAACAACUUAGUAUGUAUUUAUAGGAUAUGUAGGCCAAUAUAAAGGGUAUUUGUGUCUACAUCCUUGGCAAGAUCAUUGUCUCCAGACAUGUUCUAUUUGAUGAAUUUGAUUUUCCUUUUUCAAAUCUUCAGCAUUCAUCCACUGCACCUUAUAACAUUUCAUCUCAGCACAGGGUAUCUGUCACUGCUCCACAUACAUUACCUCCAUUAGUUACUUCACAAAACACAGUUAUUCCUUAUCAACCAUCUUUUUUACUUGUUUUAUCCCCUACAGCCUCAGAGUCUUCAAAUUCAAUAACCACUAGUGCCACAGAGUUGUUCCAUUCUUUUCCUUCUGGUGCCUCAAGUAUCUACACAAUCUCCAAUGCCUGUUGAUCUAGAUUUUCGACCAGAAAAUAUGUUUGUUGUCUUUCCAAUACCUUCAGUUAGUUUGCAUCUCAUGCAAACUAGGUCCAAAAGUGGGAUUUCCAAGAAGAAAGUGUUCUCAGCAACUGUUCAAUCAUCUGCAAAUGCAAUUGAACCUACCUCCUACAAGUCUUCUAGUAAAUUUCCUAAGUGGCAAGUAGCUAUGCAAGAAGAGAUAGAUGUUCUUCACGCUCAGAAAACUUGGAGCUUAGUUCCUUUACCCUCUAGGAAGAAUUUGGUUAGCUGCAAGUGGGUAUAUAGGAUCAAAAGAAACUGUGAUGGAUCUAUAGCUAGACACAAAGCUAGAUUGGUUGCCAAAGGUAUAGUCAAGAAGAAAACAUUGAUUACAAUAAGACUUUCAAUCCUAUUGUUAAACCCACAACUGUGAGGUUGAUUUUAGCUUUGGCAGCACAAUUCAAUUGGUCUUUAAGGCAGUUAGAUGUUAAGAAUGCAUUUCUGCAUGGUGACUUAAAUGAAGAAGUGUAUAUGGCAUAACCUCCAGGUUUUCACAACUCUAGUCAUCCCUCUUAAUAUGUUUGCAAGCUUAAUAAGUCACUAUAUGGCUUGAAGCAAACUCCCAGAGCUUGAAAUGAAAAGUUUACAAGUUAUUUGCCCGGUUUGGGUUUUAAGUCCUCUUUUGUAGAUCAUUCCUUAUUUGUCAAACAUAGUGCUGCUGGUACUGUUGUAUUGUUAUUUUAUGUGGAUGAUAUAAAUUUUCUUGCAGAUAGUUCUUCUCAGAUGAUCACUGAUACUGUUGUGAAGUUAACUAAGGAACUUGAUAUGAAGGAUUUGGGACAGUUGCAUAAGUUUUUGGGGUUACAAAUCACUUAUCAGUAUAUCGGCUUAUUUGUCUCUCUGUCAAAAUAUAUCAAGGAUUUGUUAAAUAAAGUUGACUUAUAAGAUUCAAAGGCUUGUCCUACACCUUGCUUGCCAUAUCACAAAUUCCUCAAGGAUGAUGGCACUCCAUAUCACAGUCCAGAGCAAUAUAGAAACAUUGUUGGUGAUAUCAUUCUUGCAGACAGUUCUUCUCAGAUGAUCACUGAUACUGUUGUGGAGUUAACUAAGGAAUUUGAUAUGAAGGAUUUGGGACAGUUGCAUUAGUUUUUGGGGUUACAAAUCACUUAUCAGUAUAUUGGCUUGUUUGUCUCUAAGUCAAAAUAUAUCAAGGAUUUGUUAAAUAAAGUUGACUUACGAGAUUCAAAGGCUUGUCCUACACCUUGCUUGCCAUAUCACAAACUCCUCAAGGAUGAUGGCACUCCAUAUCACAGUCCAGAGCAAUAUAGAAACAUUGUUGGUGCCUUGCAGUAUUUAACUUUUACAAGGUUAGACAUAGCAUUCUCAAUGAACCAAUGCUGUUAGUUUAUGCACAAUCCUAUGAAUUCUCAUAUUGUUGCAGUUAAGAGGAUUCUUAGAUAUCUUAGUGGCACAAUAAACUAUGGUCUUAGCUUCAAACAUGGAAAAUUGCAUCUGCAAGCAUACAGUAUGCAGACUGGGCAUGUGAUCCUAAUGAUCAAAGAUCAACUUCUGGUCAUAUUGUUUACUUUGUUUCUAGUCCAAUUUCUUGGGCCUUUAAAAAGCAACAUACAAUGUCAAGAUUUUCAACUGAGGCAGAAUAUAGAGCCUUAGCUAUUGCAGUUGCAGAUUUAGCAUGGAUUAGGCAAUUACUGUGUGAUCUUCAUGUUUCUGUGUUCAUUGCACCAAUGAUCUACUAUGAUAAUAUUUCAGCAAGAGGUGUGCUAUCUACACACCUCAUUUUACUUCUCACACACCCCUUGAUUAUUUCUGUCCAUUGAUCUUCUUUAAUUCAUCUGAUUUGACGUUUGAAAAUUAAAAAGGUGCGUGAGAAGUAAAAUGAGGUGUGUGGAUAUCACACCCUUUUUAGCAAUUGCUUUGUCUUCCAAUCCUGUCUUUCAUUCUCGAGUGAAGCACAUUGAGAUAGAUUAUCACUUUGUCAGGGAAAGGAUGAUCCGAGGAUAUUUGAAUGUUUAUCAUGUGUCUUCCAGAGAACAGUUUGCAUAUAUUCUCACUAAGGGCCUUGCUGCACCUUUGUUUCAAUGUCAUUGUUCCAAUCUGAUGCUUGGUUCAUCCAAGCAUGAGAUUGCGGGGGAUGUAAAGAUGUAUUAGUUGUUUUAGAUGAUGACAAGUGUACAUAGAUUAAGGUGCCUAAGUUGGUUAAGUUUGUUAUUGACAGUUAGCUUACUUAGUGACUAAGGAAAACCUUGUCUAUAGAAAACCUUGUCUAUAUAUAUCUAUGUACUGAUAUAAAAUGAUGAUGAUGAAUAUACAAAAUACAAUUCUCUCUCUCUCUCUAAAACUAUUAUUCUUUCUCAAAUGUCUCUCUCUCUAUCAAGAACUUGUAUGGAAAACAAACGUCUCUGUGCAAUCUGACAAUCAUGAUCCAUGCAGCUAGAUUACCCAAAUUAAUUCAAAAGAAAGAAAAAAAAAUGGCGAAGCUAUAUGGGAGCGAGGAGGGGCGAUCGCCCCUCCCCUCGUCGAAAAUUAAGCCUGGGAGCGACGGUCCGCCCCUCUGGUCACGUCGGAAAACUUGCAGCGCCGUGAGGGACAAAGUUCCAAUAAUCUUAGAGGAGGAGGAAGAAGAAUUUUAGCCACCAGAACAUAAACUCGUGACCUGUUCUCCCCUCUUCGAACCCCUGCACCUCGCAGAUCUCGUACACAGGUGGGGUUUGAAGCUCAAAGGAAAAAUCGACGGCGCUGGUGUGUGAAGGCAUGAGCAAAUGGGAGAGGCGCUAGGCUAUCCUAAUUUUAAACUAGAAGCUUAAAAAAAACAAAAAAGUAAGAAUGAGGUCCUAGCUGCUGCAGUCAUGGUGUUGGCCCAAAACUUGGGCCUAGUUGAUUUAAAAUAAAAGGAAAAAGGAAUGGGAUGCAGAGGAAAACUACAAAAGGAGGAGUUUCAAUACUUUGGUCUUGACUUUGGUAUUAUUGGUCGAUACCGCUUCAGUUAAGAGAGUUUUUUUGCUAUAAGUAUUCUCAAAAUACCAUUGUGUAACAAAAAAGAAGAUAAAUGGUUGAGUGAUAGCUUUGUUGUUUACAGUAAGAGAGAUAUUUUUCUUCUAUUGAUAAUAAACUUAUUGUGCAACGUUUUCAUGACAUUAAACAUCGCCGACAACAAUUGUAACUUGUUUGUAUUGAUACAUUAUGAACGACAUUUAAAUUUUCCACCAUAUAAAAGGAUUUGGUUGUUAUAUUUUUUUGGAGCCUUUUACUCUUUUAAAUUUCGCCCAUUCCCUUGAAAAUUCCUGGCUUCGCCACUGACCACGGAUAUUGCUACCAUUGCUAUAACAAGGACCAUCGUGUUGUUCACGUUCAUGGUUCUAGCCAUCUUUUCUAUAAUUAUUGUCCUUGUGUAUGAUUCUUGACUUUACAACAACUUCAUGGUGUCUGAGUUUAUAAGUUUUAUCAAUUGUGUAAAUCAGCUGUGACAUCUGGCAAUUGCUAGCUCUUUGUGUGCAUGGAGCAGCUAGAUUAUUAGCUGAUAAUUGAUUCAUGUAAUGAUAGGUCGAUGUUAACUAUACAUGUCGAUUAUGUAAAACAAUUUUUAGAUGAUAAUUCCCAAGCAUAACAUUACAGAUUUUAAUAGUUUUUUUUUUUCAUUUUAAUUAUUAUAUGAGUAAUAGAGUUGUAACAGCAAUGUGAUACAUAUUUGGUUUUAUUUUGAAUUACUUAACCCUAAUGAAAUUCUGGUUGGAUUCUUGUCUCGUAUGCUAUAUAGACAAUGCAAAACAAUACAACAAAAAGUUUCAAAGACUUCUUCUUUUGGAUGUGAUAUUUGUACUCUCAUCUCUCAAUAAUAUGUAAUAUAUAUUAUGCAUCCGUAAAGUGUACCUAUUGUAACUAAUUAGAGGCGUCAAUGCAGGACCAAUUAUUAUUUCAUUAUUUAAGGUAAGAUUUUAGUUGUCCCUUCAAGUUUAGAGGUAUUUUAAUUUCCUUAUGGUCACAGGAUCAACCAUUCAUUCAUGAUGAAAUAUGACAAAUAUCAUGAGUUUAGUUUAGUUCACGUGUGCAGAAUUUGGAGACGUCAACAUUUCAACUCUGAUGGCCAGUUGUUUGACUUGCACAUUGUAUUUGUUGAUGCUAACCAAGGUAUAAAAUAUCGAUGAUAUCGGAAAUAUCGGUAGUUUAAAAACAUGGAAAUUUCGAUGGAAAUAUCGGGAUAUUAUCGAUAUCGAUAAAAAUUGAAUAAAAACCACGGAAAUUGUAAGAAAAACUUGGAAAUUUUUAUUGAAACUUUGCAGGAUGUUUAUUUAGUCAAUUAUAUAUUAGUUUAUCACAAAAAAAUUAGAAGGAAAUGCAUUGCAUGAUGGAUUUAACUGAUUUAAGUUGAUUAUAUAGCGAGCUGGUAAAUAUUGUGAGUGUAGAAAAUAUGUAGUAAUUAAUAAAAGAAAUUUAAACACACCAUAAUCAUUUAUAUAUAAUGAAUUAGUACAAUAUUUUACACUUUAUGCAUUGCAUGAUAAGAUAUAUGAGUGACUUAGUACCACAUAAAGUUCCUAUCAAGGUCUAAAAUAUCGAUGAUAUCGGAAAUAUCGGUAGUCCAAAAACACGAAAAUUUCGAUAGAAAUAUCAGGAUAAUAUCGAUAUUUUAGACCUUGAUGCUAACUAAAUCAUUCUCUUAUACUAUUUUCAUUUAAAGAAUAAAUGUUUAUGUGUCAGAUUCAGUUUAUUCUUCAAUAUUAAUAUAUAUUUCUUUAAACUUUAAUUUAAGCUAAAAAUGACAAAAUCGAUGAAUAUGAAUAAAUAUAUAAUCGCAGCUACCAAUUCCAUAUAUAAUCUCUAAAACUCCUGCAAAUUUUCGAAUUGCACACAACCUUUCAAAUUACUGCCUUCUUCAAGACACGUGAAUGAAACUGAAAUUCUUCAGUUUUACAUCUUCAGUAAAAUCUCUGUAUCUUUGAUUAAAAUCCUACAUCUUCAUUUUUACAUCUUCAGUAAAAGCUCUGUAUCUAAUGAUUAUUGCUCUUAUAUCAAUCUUUGUUAAAAUAUUUUGCAAAACGAUACGUGUAUAAACACCCAAACCAGAUUCCGACUCCUUAGUAAUAAUUAACGCAUUGCAGUUUAAUUCCAUCUUUUAUUACUAUGAAUAGUCUACUUUAUUGUUUUCCAUGAGUUUUAAUAAUGUAGUUAAUGAUUAAUGGUUUCAUUAAUCUGACAUAGAUAUCCUUUUUUUUAUCUAAUCCAUGAGUGUAUGAAAUGUUAAAACGAUAGUAUAUCACUAUAUUGGGUGGGUAAUCUUUAUCAUAUUAGCUUUCCAAAUUAAUUUUUUAUUUCUACCAUUUACUAUAUUGUUCUAUUGUUUUAGGCUACAGAUGAAGUGUAAAUUGUUAGACAUGUUAGGUAGAAUUAAGAAGUGAAUGAGGUCCUCUUGAGAAUACAUGGGAUAAGCCUACGGGUGUUAAUUUGGUUUUUAGAUUGUUACGGGUGUUAAUUUGGUUUUUAGAUUGUUUGUUCAAUAAUAACCAUAGUCUGAAAUAUCGAUAAUAUCAACGAAAUAUCGAGGAUAUUUCAGUUUUUUCAAAUCACGGAUAUUUCGGAACAUAUCUAUGUACAUAUUGUACAAAUAUCGACAAUAUCGACGAUAACAUCGGAAAAUAUCGAUGUCGAUAAUUUCGCUCACACUUCAGCAAUAUUUUGUCAAAAUAUUGGUGUAAUAUCGCUAAAAUAUGGAAAAUAUCGAUGUAAAGGAAGGAAAAAAAAAAAAGAAAAAAAAGAAAAAAAAGGGAAAAAAGGAAGUGAAUGAGGUCCUCUUGAGAAUACAUGGGAUAAGCCUACGGGUGUUAAUUUGGUUUUUAGAUUGUUACGGGUGUUAAUUUGGUUUUUAGAUUGUUUGUUCAAUAAUAACCAUAGUCUGAAAUAUCGAUAAUAUCGACGAAAUAUCGAGGAUAUUUCGGUUUUUUCAAAUCACGGAUAUUUCGGAACAUAUCUAUGUACAUAUCGUACAAAUAUCGACAAUAUUGACGAUAAUAUCGGAAAAUAUCGAUGUCGAUAAUUUCGCUCACACUUCAGCAAUAUUUUGUCAAAAUAUUGGUGUAAUAUCGCUAAAAUAUGGAAAAUAUCGAUGUAAAGGAAGGAAAAAAAAAAAAAAAGAAGAAAAAAAAGGGCAAAAAGGGAGGAAAAAUAUUGUCGAUAAUUUCGCUCACACUUCAGCAAUAUUUUGUCAAAAUAUUGGUGUAAUAUCGCUAAAAUAUGGAAAAUAUCGAUGUAAAGGAAGGAAAAAAAAAGAAAAAGAAGAAAAAAAAGGGCAAAAAGGGAGGAAAAAAAAAUACAAAGGGGAUUUGAACCCCUCCCAUUUUACUCUUCCAACACCGUAACCACCAUAUAUCACGUAUGUUUUAGUAAUAAUAUGCUAAAAUAUUUAUAUUUAUAUGAGUGGCAUGUUAACAAUUACAUGCAAAACUAUUUUGGGGAUUUAUCAUUUGAUGAAUACUCUCCACAAUAAACUUACUCUACACAUAGAGAUGAUGAAGAUAGUGAAAAUUUUGAACCUCAUAAGAACUUUAUGUGGUACUAAAAAAAAUAAUUUGGCAUUAAACACACUAGGAGAAGCUAGCUUCAAGCCACGAAUAUUUAUAUGUACCAGAUUUCUUUAAAAAAAAUAUUGUUAUUAAGGGGAUGGGAGGACUCGAAACUAUUACAAUAGUUUAGGAGAGGGGAAAGUUUCAAACCUGAGAUUCAUGAGUAGAAACUCAACACCUUAUCAACUGAGAUAUUGUUGAUCUCUUUCUUUUACGAAAUCUUUACUUGUUUCCUUCAAACACUUUCAAGACAAGUAUUGUUGAUACAUCUAUUGCUGCCAUCGGGAAUUCACAAAUAUGUGUAUACAUUUUUUGUUUGAGAAAAAAUAGGGUCCUAAAAAAAGUUCUUGUAAAAUUUGAUAUGGCUUUUUAUGUAAGAGUUUUUCUAUUUGAACACCAUCUCUCAUCUAACUAAUUUUACCCUAAUUUCUAUUUACACCCCAUUAAAAAAUUUAACUUUAAACAUUCUCUAAGUUCACCACAUUUGUUCCAAAAAAAUACCCUAUAUAAACACGACCAUACCUUAUUCUGAUUUCGUUGAAUGUCAUAUAUGCUAGUGGGAAAAGUCUGAAUUUUAAUUUCAAACUAGGACUAAUUCUACCUCACAGCAACAAAACCCCCUUUUUUGUGAUAGAGCAAAACCAAUUAACGAAUAUGUCCACUUGCAUAUCCUACAGAGAGAGAGAGACGAAAGACAGAAGUUAUAUCAUAGAACGGUAGAAGUAUAAUAAUGGGAACUUUAACGAAAAGCAUCCGGUACUGUUCACUUUAACGAAAAACCACAUUUUUACACUAAAAAGUCAAUGCUGGUACUAUUCACUUUACCCUUUAUUUUGUCCUUAUCAUUAAAACUCAAAGUUUUCAAGUCAUUUUCAUUAAUUUUCCUUAUAAUAUAUAUGAACGUGUGAAUUAUUAUUAAUCGUAAUUUAUCAUCUCCUCAACACACCCGCAAAAACACCACCAAAGACAACCCAACAGCAGCAAUUUAUAUAUGAUUCGAAAAGAAAUAAAAAAAGUAAACGAUAGAAGAGGAUGAAUGAUAGAACGGUAGUAGUAUGAGAGGAAUGUGGAGAAAAGUAUAAGAUGAAUGUGGAGGAAGAUGAACGGUAGAACAAUAGAAGGUUUAUUUAUUUAUUUUUAUUUAUUUAUUUAUUUUUAACACAAUUAAAUUUAAUAAUUUCUGUCAUGAAUAAUACUUGGAUUCCCCCAAUGAGGAUUGAGCUCAUUCUUUCACUUGCAAAUAACGUAUCUUCACCGUAAAAAUUUCAUAACUGAAACCAUUCAAUUUCUUAAUUUUCAUUUGAUAAUUAUCCUUAUAAAAAAAUCAUUCGAAACAUAUAUCAUUUGGUCAUUCAAAUGUAUCAAAUAGAUGACAGUUCAUCAUUAACAUUAACAUGUUACUUGGUACUUUCAAUUAUUUGAUACAUUUGAAUGCCUAAACAAUAUCUAAUUCACUACUACAAAAGGGACUUAUAGUGUCAGUGGGUGGUGUCGGUUUAAUAUAAUGUAAUGGCGCAUAAGAGAGUUGCGACACUAAUUGAACAUGACGUCGGAUUUAGUGUCGCUUAUAAGCGAGAUUAAAUGUCUACAUCGCUUUUAAACCGACGUAAACAUUUAAUGUCGCUUAUAACCGACAUAUAAUUUAAUAAUUUUAAAUAUUGGUGUCGCUUUAAAUAAAACAGUGUCGCUUUUAAGCGACAUAAAGUAUUGGUGUCGCUUCUAGGUGACACUAAUUAAUUUAAUAAUUUUAUAACCCUAAAAAAAUACUAUAAUGAUUAUAUAUAUUAAUUUAACAAUUUUAUACCCCUAAAAAUUAUAAUAAUUAUAUAUAUAUUAAAUUAAAUACUAAAAAUUGGUGACCAUUGGAUCGGCUUAAAUAUACAUAUCAUUCAAGUUGAUGAGAUAUGAAUUCUACGAAACUAAUUUCAACAAUCAAACUGUCAAACUUGUUUGUAUAUGCUUCGAGAUUGCAUCAGCCAAAAAUCGAAAAAAAAAAAAACAUUCAGAGAUCAAGUAACGAGACAAAACUUUUCGACGGUUUCAAACGAAAAAUCACGAUUUAAUGGCUAUUUUAACUUCGAUUUUGAUGAUUUUUUACAGCUACACUCCUUGACCUUAUAUGAAUAUAAUGAAUUAACUCGAUCUUCAAUUUCAAAUAUUUACACCAGUGGAUACCAAUAAAUCUUAUGUUAUACUUAAUAAAAGUAUGAAUAAACUCUUAAGUGUUAGUGAAUCUAUUGUUUUGAUGGGAUAUGCAUUCUACGAAUCUAGUUUCAACGAUCCAACCGUCAAACAUAUUUGUAUAUAUUUUUAAGAUCGCAUACGCAAAAAAAAUACAAAAACAAACAUUCAGAGAUCAAGUAACGGGAUAAAACUUUUUGACGAUUAUCAACGAAAAAUCAUGAUUUAACGGUUAUUUUAACUCCGAUUUGAUGAUUUUUUUACAGCUACACUCCUUGACCAUAUAUGAAUACAAUGAAUUAACUCGAUCUUCAAUUUCAAAUAUUUACACUAGUAGAUACCAAUAAAUCUUAUGUUAUACUUAAUAAAAGUAUGAAUAAACUCUUAAGUGUUAGUGAAUCUAUUGUUUUGAUGGGAUACGCAUUUUACGAAACUAGUUUCAACGAUCCAACCGUCAAACAUAUUUGUAUAUACUUCAAGAUCGCAUACGCCAAAAAAUUACAAAAAACAAACAUUUAGAGAUCAAAGUAACUGGAUAAAACUUUUCGACGAUUAUCAACGAAAAAUCAUAAUUUAACGGUUAUUUUAACUCCGAUUUUGAUGAUUUUUUUACAGCUACACUCCUUGACUAUAUAUGAAUACAAUGAAUUAACUCGAUCUUCAAUUUCAAAUAUUUACACUAGUGGAUACCAAUAAAUCUUAUGUUAUACUUAAUGAAAGUAUGAAUAAACUCUUAAAUGUUAGUGAAUCUAUUGCUUUGAUGGGAUACGCAUUCUACGAAACUAAUUUCAACGAUCAAACUGUCAAACUUGUUUGUAUAUGCUUCGAGAUUGCAUCAGCCAAAAAUCGAAAAAAAAAAAAAACAUUCAGAGAUCAAGUAACGGGACAAAACUUUUCGACGGUUAUCAACGAAAAAUCACGAUUUAAUGGCUAUUUUAACUUCGAUUUUGAUGAUUUUUUACAGCUACACUCCUUGACCUUAUAUGAAUAUAAUGAAUUAACUCGAUCUUCAAUUUCAAAUAUUUACACCAGUGGAUACCAAUAAAUCUUAUGUUAUACUUAAUAAAAGUAUGAAUAAACUCUUAAGUGUUAGUGAAUCUAUUGUUUUGAUGGGAUAUGCAUUCUACGAAUCUAGUUUCAACGAUCCAACCAUCAAACAUAUUUGUAUAUAUUUUAAGAUUGCAUACGCAAAAAAUUACAAAAAACAAACAUUCAGAGAUCAAGUAACGAGAUAAAACUUUUCGACGAUUAUCAACGAAAAAUCAUGAUUUAACGGUUAUUUUAACUCCGAUUUGAUGAUUUUUUACAGCUACACUCCUUGACCAUAUAUGAAUACAAUGAAUUAACUCGAUCUUCAAUUUCAAAUAUUUACACUAGUAGAUACCAAUAAAUCUUAUGUUAUACUUAAUAAAAGUAUGAAUAAACUCUUAAGUGUUAGUGAAUCUAUUGUUUUGAUGGGAUACGCAUUUUACGAAACUAGUUUCAACGAUCAAACCGUCAAACAUAUUUGUAUAUACUUCAAGAUCGCAUACGCCAAAAAAUUACAAAAAACAAACAUUUAGAGAUCAAAGUAACUAGAUAAAACUUUUCGACGAUUAUCAACGAAAAAUCAUAAUUUAACGGUUAUUUUAACUCCGAUUUUGAUGAUUUUUUUACAAGCUACACUCCUUGACCAUAUAUGAAUACAAUGAAUUAACUCGAUCUUCAAUUUCAAAAUAUUUUACACUAGUGGAUACCAAAAAAUCUUAUGUUAUACUUAAUGAAAGUAUGAAUAAACUCUUAAGUGUUAGUGAAUCUAUUGUUUUGAUGGGAUACGCAUUCUACGAAACUAAUUUCAACGAUCAAACUGUCAAACUUGUUUGUAUAUGCUUCGAAAUUGCAUCAGCCAAAAAUCGAAAAAAAAAAAAACAUUCAGAGAUCAAGUAACGGGACAAAACUUUUCGACGGUUAUCAACGAAAAAUCACGAUUUAAUGGCUAUUUUAACUUCGAUUUUGAUGAUUUUUUACAGCUACACUCCUUGACCUUAUAUGAAUAUAAUGAAUUAACUCGAUCUUCAAUUUCAAAUAUUUACACUAGUGGAUACCAAUAAAUCUUAUGUUAUACUUAAUAAAAGUAUGAAUAAACUCUUAAGUGUUAGUGAAUCUAUUGUUUUGAUGGGAUAUGCAUUCUACGAAUCUAGUUUCAACGAUCCAACCGUCAAACAUAUUUGUAUAUACUUUAAGAUCGCAUACGCAAAAAAUUACAAAAAACAAACAUUCAGAGAUCAAGUAACGGGAUAAAACUUUUCGACGAUUAUCAACGAAAAAUCAUGAUUUAACGGUUAUUUUAACUCCGAUUUGAUGAUUUUUUUACAGCUACACUCCUUGACCAUAUAUGAAUACAAUGAAUUAACUCGAUCUUCAAUUUCAAAUAUUUACACUAGUAGAUACCAAUAAAUCUUAUGUUAUACUUAAUAAAAGUAUGAAUAAACUCUUAAGUGUUAGUGAAUCUAUUGUUUUGAUGGGAUACGCAUUUUACGAAACUAGUUUCAACGAUCAACCGUCAAACAUAUUUGUAUAUACUUCAAGAUCGCAUACGCCAAAAAAUUACAAAAAACAAACAUUUAGAGAUCAAAGUAACUGGAUAAAACUUUUCGACGAUUAUCAACGAAAAAUCAUAAUUUAACGGUUAUUUUAACUCCGAUUUUGAUGAUUUUUUACAGCUACACUCCUUGACCAUAUAUGAAUACAAUGAAUUAACUCGAUCUUCAAUUUCAAAUAUUUACACUAGUGGAUACCAAUAAAUCUUAUGUUAUACUUAAUGAAAGUAUGAAUAAACUCUUAAGUGUUAGUGAAUCUAUUGUUUUGAUGGGAUACGCAUUCUACGAAACUAAUUUCAACGAUCAAACUGUCAAACUUGUUUGUAUAUGCUUCGAGAUUGCAUCAGCCAAAAAUCGAAAAAAAAAAAAACAUUCAGAGAUCAAGUAACGGGACAAAACUUUUCGACGGUUAUCAACGAAAAAUCACGAUUUAAUGGCUAUUUUAACUUCGAUUUUGAUGAUUUUUUACAGCUACACUCCUUGACCUUAUAUGAAUAUAAUGAAUUAACUCGAUCUUCAAUUUCAAAUAUUUACACCAGUGGAUACCAAUAAAUCUUAUGUUAUACUUAAUAAAAGUAUGAAUAAACUCUUAAGUGUUAGUGAAUCUAUUGUUUUGAUGGGAUAUGCAUUCUACGAAUCUAGUUUCAACGAUCCAACCGUCAAACAUAUUUGUAUAUACUUUAAGAUCGCAUACGCAAAAAAUUACAAAAAACAAACAUUCAGAGAUCAAGUAACGGGAUAAAACUUUUCGACGAUUAUCAACGAAAAAUCAUGAUUUAACGGUUAUUUUAACUCUGAUUUGAUGAUUUUUUUACAGCUACACUCCUUGACUAUAUAUGAAUACAAUGAAUUAACUCGAUCUUCCAUUUCAAAUAUUUACACUAGUAGAUACCAAUAAAUCUUAUGUUAUACUUAAUAAAAGUAUGAAUAAACUCUUAAGUGUUAGUGAAUCUAUUGUUUUGAUAGGAUACGCAUUUUACGAAACUUGUUUCAACGAUCCAACCGUCAAACAUAUUUGUAUAUACUUAAAGAUCGCAUACGCCAAAAAAUUACAAAAAACAAACAUUUAGAGAUCAAAGUAACUGGAUAAAACUUUUCGACGAUUAUCAACGAAAAAUCAUAAUUUAACUGUUAUUUUAACUCCGAUUUUGAUGAUUUUUUACAGCUACACUCCUUGACCAUAUAUGAAUACAAUGAAUUAACUCGAUCUUCAAUUUCAAAUAUUUACACUAGUGGAUACCAAUAAAUCUUAUGUUAUACUUAAUGAAAGUAUGAAUAAACUCUUAAGUGUUAGUGAAUCUAUUGUUUUGAUGGGAUACGCAUUCUACAAAACUAGUUUCAACGAUCCAACCGUCAAACAUGUUUGUAUAAACUUCGAGAUCGCAUACGCCAGAAAUUACAAAAAACAAACAUUCAGAGAUCAAGUAACGGGAUAAAACUUUUCGACGGUUAUCAAUGAAAAAUCACGAUUUAACGGUUAUUUUAACUCCGAUUUUGAUGAUUUUUUACAGCUACACUCCUUGAUCCUAUAUGAAUACAAUGAAUGAAUUCGAUCUUCAAUUUAAAAUAUUUACACAAGUGGAUACCAAUAAAUCUUAUGUUAUACUUAAUGAAAAUAUGAAUAAAUUCUAAAGUGUUAGUUAAUCUAUUGUUUUGAUGGGAUACGCAUUCUAUGAAACUAGUUUCAACGAUCCAACCGUCAAACAUGUUUGUAUAUACUUCGAGAUCGCAUACGCCAAAAAUUACAAAAAACAAACAUUCAGAGAUCAAGUAAUGAGAUAAAACUUUUCGAUGGUUAUCAACGAAAAAUCAUGAUUUAAUGGUUAUUUUAACUUCGAUUUUGAUGAUUUUUUACAGCUACACUCCUUGACCCUAUAUGAAUACAAUGAAUGAAUUUGAUCUUCAAUUUAAAAUAUUUACACUAGUGGGUAUGAAGGAGCAAAGACUGCCGUAAGAACUCAUGAAGGACAAACCGAAAGUUUUCCCAUAACUGUAGGAUUACAUCAAGGCUCAUCCUUAAGUCCUUACCUUUUUGCGUUGGUAAUGGAUGAGUUAAUAGGACAUAUUCAAGAUGAUAUUCCUUGGUGUAUGCUUUUCGCAGAUGAUAUAAUGUUGAUAGAUGAAACUCAGGAAGGGGUAAAUGCAAAGCUUAACCUUUGGAGAGAUGUGUUGGAAUCUAAAGGUCUUCGCCUAAGCCGAUCAAAGACAGAAUAUAUGGAGUGCAAGUUCAGUGCAAAUGGAGGCCAAAACGAGUUAGGGGUGAGGAUCGGAGAUCAAGAAAUACCAAAGAGCGACUAUUUUCGUUACCUAGGAUCUAUCUUGCAAAAGAACGGAGAAUUAGAUGGAGAUCUCAACCAUAGAAUACAAGCUGGAUGGAUGAAGUGGAAGAGUGCAUCCGGCGUGUUGUGUGACCGCCGUAUGCCACUGAAGCUCAAGGGAAAAUUUUAUAGGACGACAAUAAGGCCGGCGAUGCUGUAUGGCACAGAAUGUUGGGCGGUGAAGCAUCAACACGUACACAAAAUGGGUGUAGCGGAGAUGAGGAUGCUUCGUUGGAUGUGUGGGCACACGAGAAAGGAUAAGAUUAGGAAUGAGGAUAUCCGGGGUAAAGUAGGAGUAGCCGAAAUUAAAGGAAAGAUGAGAGAAAAUCGGUUACGGUGGUUUGGACAUGUGCAAAGAAGGCCUACUGACGCUCCGAUUAGAAGAUGCGACUAUGGGACAGAGGUUCAGGGCCGAAGGGGUAGAGGAAGACCUAGGAAAACUUUGGAAGAGACCCUAAGAAAAGACUUAGAGUACUUGGAUCUAACGGAGGACAUGACACAGGACAGAACACAAUGGCGUUCUAAGAUUCAUAUAGCCGAUCCCACUCAGUGACUUGGAUUUUUCCAAGUCUCCAACCGAGAAGUUUUCCUCACUCGGGAAAUUAAGGGAACACUACCUCAACCUACAUGCUCCACUCACAAAGCUUCAAACAUACAAGCUUCAACAAAAGAAAAAUUCAAAGAACUUAGCGAAGAAGGCUUUGGUGUAUUUAACACAAUACGUUGAAAUGAAGGAAAGCUUAUUUAUUGAUAUCCCCGAUAAGUUACAAAUAUGUACAUAUACUUGAGUCAAAAUAAACAAACAAGAGGGAGCCUUCACAAAGGUUGCUUAGGAGAAGUCUCAGCAGUCGGUAGAGCCCAGAAAGAGAAGGCACCGGAGGGGAUCAUUCGGAGCCUCAGUACUGGACAAGAACCCUAGAAGGAGGAGGCAUCAGAGGUUGAUCAUUUGGAGCUUCAUUACGCGGUACAGCCCCAGAAGACGAAGGCAAAUAAAUGCCUUUGGAACAAACCCACAAAUCUCUGAUGAUCAAGUAAAACCUGACCAUCAGAUUCCUUCAUCUGGUCAAGCUUCCUCUUCAUGUUUGUAGCAUAGUCAUGUGCGAGCCGGUGCAACUGUUUAUUCUCAUGCUUGAGCCCUCUAAUCUCCUGUUUGAGACUCAUCACUUCAGCCGCCAAUGAUUCAACUUGGCGGGUUCGAGCAAAUAGGCGUUGGGCCAUAUUAGACACAGAACCUGCACACUGAACACUGAGAGCCAGAGAAUCCUUAACAGCCAACUCAUCAGACCGUUUGGAAAGUAGUCUGUUAUCUUUGGGAGUGAGAAGGUUCCUGGCCACUACCGCAGCGGUCAUAUCAUUCUUCAUCACGGAAUCCCCAACGGUAAGAGGACCAGUAGGGGAGACGAAGGAUGGGCGCCAUAUGUUGUCUGGAGAAGGCGGGGCUGCCUCUUCAACAAGGUUCAAGUCAAAACGACGGUCGGAGGGGCCAGACAUUUUCAAAGGUGUUGAAGAGAGAAGAGGUCGGACAAAUCAAGAUCUUAGAAGUGCAAGAAUGGAGCUUCUACUGGUGGAUAUUCAAGUGUGCUUUGGAACUUAAUGUCAGCCCCUAUAAAAAUCUGCACUCGACGAAGCUUCAGAAAUCGAAGAGGCGCCUGCUCAGAAAUCGAAGAGGCGUUUGCUUUCUCAAAAGCUGGGCUGCUCAGAGACCACGAGGGUCGAUCUCAGAAAUCGAAGAGGCGUUUGCUUUCUCAAAAGCUGGGCUGCUCAAAGACCACGAAGGCCGAUCUCAGAAAUCGAAGAGGCUUGCUUUCUCAAAAGCUGGGCUGCUCAGAGACCACGAGGGCCGAUCUCAGAAAUCGAAGAGGCACCUACUUUUCCAAGCCUUGUCAGCACCUGUCACACGCACACUCAACUUUGCGGAAAUUAUGGGCAUUCUGUCGAAGAUUUCUGGCGAAGUAGAAAGCACAUGAAUUGUACUGUUCAAUCACCCACUUCCCACACGCAACAGUAGCUCAUGGGUACCACAGAUAACUUUGCCAAAGUUCUCUGACAAAGUUGAGACACGUGAAGCUUGCAGCUCCCACUACAUCGCUCUGACCAAGAAGGGUAAAAGAAUUAGCAAAGAAACAACACUAACAAAGUUUAGACACAUAAAUUUUGAAGGUCUAGCUACCAUAUAUUAUUACCCACAAGGGUAAAGGAACAGUACCACUGCUGGAUAAUUGGAAAGUCCCGGUGUGUCAACCUCUGUGCUUCGUGGCAAGGUAGACUAGCAAACAUGCCCAACCUUUACUCACAUUCGAGAAAACACUCCAACAUGAUUGAUUGCUCCAAAAUCGAAGAGGCACCGCCCUCCGAAUCUCGAGAGCCAGACUCCCAACAUGAUUACUUUCUCAAAAAUCGAAGAGAGGGUAAAGGAACAGUACCACUGCUGGAUAAUUGGAAAGUCCCUGUGUGUCAACCUUUGUGCUUCGUGGCAAGGUAGACUAGCAAACAUGCCCAACCUUUACUCACAUUCGAGAAAAACACUCCCAACAAGAUUGCUUGCUCCAAAAUCGAAGAGGCACCGCCCUCCGAAUCUCGAGAGCCAGACUCCCAACAUGAUUACUUUCUCAAAAAUCGAAGAGAGGGUAAAGGAACAGUACCACUGCUGGAUAAUUGGAAAGUCCCUGUGUGUCAACCUCUGUGCUUCGUGGCAAGGUAGACUAGCAAAACAUGCCCAACCUUUACUCACAUUCGAGAAAACACUCCCAACAAGAUUGCUUGCUCCAAAAAUCGAAGAGGCACCGCCCUCCGAAUCUCGAGAGCCAGACUCCCAACAUGAUUACUUUCUCAAAAAUCGAAGAGACACCGCUCUCCGAAUCUCGAGAGCCAGACCCCCAGCAGGAUUGCUUUCUUCAAAAAUCGAAGAGGCAUCGUUCUCCGAAUCUCGAGAGCCAGAUCCCCGACAUGAUUGCUUGUUCGAAAACCGAAGAGGCACCACUUUCCCAACUUCAAGAGCUGGAUCUCCUUGGAUAAAUCUUGUCUGUAAUCUUCACACGCAACAUCAGCUUUCCAGAUACCACAUACCACUUUUUCAAAGUGCUCUGACAGAGUUAAAACAUGUGAAGCUGGUAGCUCCCACUACCGUGCUUUGACCAAGCAGGGUAAAGGAAUAGCAUUAUUACUUGAUGUUAGGAAGACUCCUAUAUAUGUCGACCUUCAUCCCUAAAGGACAGGCAGACCUGCAAAAAUGCUCAACCCUUUCCUCUUAUCUGAGAGGGCACUCCCAACGAAGCCUUUCGAAAUAUUCAGCUUUCUUUUCCCCCGAUAAUACCUCUGUAAACAAGCUAUACUAGAGCAAGAAUAUCUCAUAUCAUCAGGGUUAAAAGCAAGAGUAUCCCAUAUCAUGCUUUUUUCCCUGUCUUUUCCUUUGGCCUUGUUCUUACCUGCAAGACAAGGAGAAAGAGAGCAAUCAGUCAGCACUUGGAAUCAAGCUUCCAGCCAGGAACUGACUGCCUGGAACCCCUUACCUGAUUACUUACCUGGCAUUGCUCUCGAGUACUCAUCUUCAACAUCUUAUGCUUCCAGGGAAGAUACCGCAUCUGCCUGAGGAACAGAUAGGGCAAGUGAGAAGGAUACAAGGAAGCAUGUGGAGACAAGCGUAACAGCACACGUGCCGAUACAUCCACUACUCUGUCAAAAGCAAAAGUAUCCCAUAUCAGCAGGGUCGAACGUACUCUAGAUUUGAUGGACUUGUUUUGACCCUCAAAUUCUUCAGUCGGCCUUUACUCUGGAGGAAACCAGAAAACCCUCCAGCCCGGUUCAAGAAUAAGCCUGUGGAAAGUUACUUCUUCAAAAAGCAAAAAGUAUCCCAUAUCAUCUCUUCUCAUUUUUCUUCUCUUUAUCCUUCAUGCUGCCUGCAAGAUAGGGAGAAUGUGAACAAUCAGCCGGAGCUCUGAUUGCUUACCUUGUCUGUCACCUCUUUCAGCAGAUCCCCUAGCUCGGCGACUUGGGGGACUCCUACUACAUGGUUUGUAUCGCGCUUGACCAAGCCUGAAACUACAAGUAAGCUUCAAGUGAAAUUGAUACAUUACCUUGUGCAUCUCCACCAGUUACAGAUACCACCCCUGGAUGGAGGAAGAGUACUUCCAGAGAAGAUGCCACAUCUACCUAUGAGACAGAUAAGGCAAGUCAAGACGAUACCACACUCCGGUACUUAGAAGUUUCGUGGUUACGAGAUCAUUCUCCCACAAUAUUUCCUAAUGUCAUUUGUACUAAAUCAUUCACUUGUACUCACUAAAUGAGAGCUUGAACCUAUGUACUUGUGUAAACCCUUCACAAUUAAUGAGAACUCCUAUAUUCCGUGGACGUAGCCAAUCUGGGUGAACCACGUACAUCUUGUGUUUGCUUUCCUAUCUCUAUCCAUUUAUAUACUUAUCCACACUAAUGACCGGAGCAAUCUAGCGAAGAUCACAAAAAGUGACCGUUUUCGCUACCUAGGAUCUAUCUUGCAAGAGAACGGAGAAUUAGAUGGAGAUCUCAACCAUAGAAUACAAGCUGGAUGGAUGAAGUGUAAGAGUGCAUCUGGCGUGUUGUGUGACCGUCGUAGGCCACUGAAGCUCAAGGGAAAAUUUUAUAGGACGGCAAUAAGGCCAGCGAUGUUGUAUGGCACAGAAUGUUGGGCGGUGAAGCAUCAACACGUACACAAAAUGGGUGUAGCGAAGAUGAGGAUGCUUCGUGGGAUGUAUGGGCACACGAUAAAGGAUAAGAUUGGGAAUGAGGAUAUCCGAGGUAAAGUAGGAGUAGCCAAAAUUGAAGGAAAUAUGAGAGAAAAUCGGUUCCGGUGGUUUGGACAUGUGCAAAGAAGGCCUACUGACGCUCCGGUUCGAAAAUGUGACUACAUGACAGAGGUUCAGGGCCGAAGGGGUAGAGGAAGACCUAGGAAAACUUUGGAAGAGACCCUAAGAAAAGACUUGAGUACUUGGAUCUAACGGAGGACAUGACACAAAACCGAGCGCAAUGGCGUUCUAGGAUUCAUAUAGCCGACCCCACUUAGUGGGAAAAUGCUUUGUUGUUGUUGUUGUUGUAGUGGAUAAACGAUAGAUUCACUAACACUUAGAGUUUAUUUAUACUUUCAUUAAGUAUAACAAAUAUUUUGUGGUAUCCACUAGUGUAAAUAUUUUAAAUUGAAGAUCGAAUUCAUUCAUUGUAUUCAUAUAGGGUAAAGGAGUGUAGCUGUAAAAAAUAAUCAAAAUCGGAGUUAAAAUAACCGUUAAAUCGUGAUUUUUCAUUUUAUAACCGUCGGAAAGUUUUGUCCCGAAACUCGUUAUUUUUUUUGUAUGGUGACAUUUUUUUUUUUACAAAACUAUUUUUCUGUCACCUAAUUUGAAAUACGGUAGGCGGGAACUUUCCCGCUUGUUCUGAUAUGGUGUCAGUUUGAAUCGACACAAGGGUUAACUAAACUGACGUCAUUUGAAUUAAAAAAAACUAUGUCAGAAAGUGGUUGUUUGAUUUAAUGUAUCAAUAAAGUGUGUCAGUGGUGGUAUCGGUUUAAACCGACACCAACUUUAACGAAACCGACGCUACGUUUGGUCCAAUAAAUGUUGUCAUAAAGUGGGUGGAUUUAAUUGGACGUAAUGCAUGUCAGAAGUGGGUGGCGGUUUUAACCGACACUAAGCCUCACUUAUUGCAACGCCAGUGUAUUUUAAUACGACGUUAGGAACUUAAUGUCGAUUUAAACCGACGCUAACUCAGCAUCCCUAAUUAAACCCCUUUUUCCCCCAUUUCAUCCGAGCUUUCAUUUUUUUUCCCUAAUUUCAAUCUCUCAUUCUCCUUCUCAAUUUCGUCCGUACUUCCAUUUCAUCUCUCUUUCACUUUUUAGUUUUGUUCUUCUUCUUGCAGAUUGUUUUGCUAUGGAUCAUAUGAAAAUGAGCAUGCUGACGAAAUCCAAUUCGAAGAGGAAGAAGUCGAAGGUGGUCGAUUUUUAAUUUAUUAUGGUUAUUAGUUGAGUAAUCAAACUAUAAGAUUGAGAGUUCUUUUUUCUCUUGCAUUAGAGUGAACGAAUAGUGGUUUUGUAAUUUUACUUUCGUUGUUGUUGUUGUUCUGUUGACCUGAAAUUUUACUGCUCAUGUUCUUUGACAAAGCGGCGGUGGAGGUACAAGGUGACCAGAUAAAGAACUCGAAAAGCCCAUGGAAACUCAGUACAGUUACCCAAGUAGAGGAGCUAAAAUCAAUCAUAAGGCUGCUUCCCAUAUGGGCCACUGGUAUCAUCUUUGUUGUAGUCUACAGUCAGAGAAGCAACUUCUUUGUGUUGCAAGGCACCCUCAUGGAUAUUCAUGUCGGCCGCUCUAUCUUUGAAAUCCCGGCAGCAUCUCUUUAAAUCUUUGACACCCUAGUGUCAUUUUUUGGGUCCCAAUAUACGAUUGAAUCAUUGUGCUAGCAGCUAGAAAAUACACCGAUCACAAGAAUGGCCUAACUACACUCCAAAGGAUGGGCAUUGGCCUCUUCAUCUCCAUAUUUUCCAUGGUCUGUGCUGCAAUUUUGGAACUCAUCAUGAUGGUGCAAAAGAAAAAUUCCACACAACUAGUGCAAAACCACACAACUAUAAAAAUAUUGUUGAAAUUAUUUUUAUAUAAUUUUUUUAAAUAUUAUUAACUAAAAACUGAGGAAGUUUUAUUAGAAUUUAUUAUUUUUAAUAUAUCUGGUGUCGCUUAUGGACGACAUUAGUGUAAUUAUUUAAUAUUGAAGACAUUAGUUAAUGUCGGUUAAGACCGACAGUAGCUUGAGUAUUUUAUUUAUUUAACGUACUUGAUGUCGGUUUGGACCGACAGAAAGUGUGAUAUUUUAUUGUUUAUUUCUUACGUAAUGUCGGUUUUAAGCGACAGAAAGUGUGAUAUUUUUAUUGUUUAUUUCUUAUGUAAUGUCGGUCUUCAUGUCGCUUAUAAGCGACGUAAGAGCCAAUGUCCCCUUUUUAAGCAACGCUGUUGUUCAUUUAGAUUUUAUAUUACUUUGCUUCUUGGUGGCGGAUUAAGGGGGUUAAGCGACGCCAUUACCCUUUUGUGACGGUAGUAUUGAUGUCGGUUUUUCUAUGCGACAUUGCACGAUUUAAUGUUGGAUUUUUACCAAAAAUCCGACAUUAAUGGGUGUUUCUUGUCGGUUUUUCACCGCCACUAAUGUGCCAUUUUGUAGUAGUGAUUCGAAUGAUUUUUUGUUGGUACGAUCUCCAUUGAAGAUUAAGAAAUAGAAUUUGUUCCGAACAAUAGAGUAGUGUUUUAUUCAUGAUCAACAUAAACAAUUACAAGCGUCAAUUGGGCACAUUGUUACAGUGAUCAAUAAAUUGAUUUGGAGUGAAUUUGCAUAGACAAACAAAUCGAGUAAAACUCUUAUAUGACAAUCACAAGCACAACCCAUACAAUUGGCACCACUACAAAUUUUGUCACAAAUUGUAGACACACAUCGGUCAUCGCUGAAUAGCGAGGCUACAUAAAGCAAGACAACACACAAUCAUCGCAAAAAAGCUAGACCAUAUACAAUCAUUGCAAAAGCAUGACAAUACAAAUAAAACUACAUUAAUCUGAGAACGGAACCACUGGGUGGCUAAUCAUUGUGGAGGACACCUUAUCCAACACCAUUUGCAACUACAUGGCUCUGAAGGCAUCCAUAGCUUCUACGAGUCAAGGUGGACCCAUCAUUUCUAGGUCGUGGAGACACAAUAACUUGACGCAUAAGGCAGCAGCUGGAACCAUUACAUCUGUGCACAUCAGUCAGAACAGCCAUAAAAUUAUUGGAGAAAUGUAUCACCACCAUGGAUUCAAGCUGGCGUAUAUGGAUCUGACCCACCAACAACCAUGAAUCUCACCCACACCCUCAAAUCUAAUGUUAAAUCUAAAGAAAGACCUUGAGAUGAGGCAUGGCUCAAGUCUGGGUAUGAGGCACCAAAGCCAAAAGAUAAGUUACUCGCAAAAUGGUGGGACAUAAGCAAUUAAUAUAUGAGAGGAGAAGGGGGCGCGACCGUGCAAGCCAAGAUAGGGGUGGCAGCGGAGCGGAGGGGAUGUGGUAUGAGAAGAAAAGAAAGGAAAGUACGCAGUGGGGGAUGGGGAGGAAGACGGACUAGAAGGGAGAGGUUUGUCGCCGACCGCAAGCUGAAGAAAAGGGCCAACGACUAAAAAUUGGGGAAUUUAGGGUUUUUGGGUUUUGGGAGAGAUAGUUGGGGAGAGAGAAAGUUAAGAUUAUGAUUUUUUUAUAUUUUUAUAAUGAACAUACUUUAUUUGUAAAUAAGGUAAUGAGCUCAUUCAAAAAAAGGUGCUGAAUAUUUGUAGCAUUACCUUUUUCUUGUACCAUACACAACACAAUAAAUUUGGGCAAAGCCACAGAAUGUUUGGCCACGCCUAGUAAUUCGCUUCUUUUACUUACUAGCCAUGGACACGGUCCUCGCCUCACUACCCAAUUACAAACGUCAAUUGGGCACAUUGCUACAGUGAUCAAUAAAUUGAUUUGGAGUGAAUUUGCAUAGACAAACAAAUUGAGUAAAACUCUUAUAUGACAACCACAAACACAACCAUAUAAUUGGCACCACUACAUAUUUCAUCACAAAUUGUAGACACACAUCAGUCAUUGUUGAAUAGUGAGGCUACAUAUAGCGAGACAACACACAAUCAUCACAAAAAAGCUAGACCACAUCCAAUCAUUAGAAAAGUAUGACAAUACAACUAAAACUACAUUAAUUUGAGAACGGAACCAUCGGGCGGCUAAUCAUUGUGGAGGACACCCUAUCCAACACCACUUGUAACUACAUAGCUCUAAUGACAUUGUUGACCCUAAAAACUAUCAAGCCUACGUGGCGUGCAAGUCAAGUAGCUAAUGAGCUAACUAUAUCCUUCGGUUGAUGUGGGGUGUGCCAACUCGUGUGCCGAGCUCGGUCGAGGAUUAAAAUGUGUUGAUGUUGCGUUGAGUGCGCGACUGACUUCUCGAUCUUGCGACUGCGGCCGAGGAAGGAACACAUCUCGUCCUUUGGGUUUUAGAGCUUGAAGACAAGGCUGCUAACUUUGUGAAGUUCACAAAUUGUCAGCACCGGAUUCGGUCACAGUGAUUAUAUUUGUAAGGGUAUAAGCACGUCAAAUUGACACCAAAGUAUAUGGGCACAGAUACUUAAAAUAUAUAUAUGUCUUGAUGGUAAAUAUGGUUCGGCGCCAAACUCUAAAGCUUACCUGUGAGUAUCCAAUCAUAAAACAACUUGGCAUUCAAUGUGCCGAGCCCUAGUAAGCUAUAACACCUCACCUCGUCGAAAAGGCUAAUGAGAUGACCUCUACCAAUAAAGACCCGAAAGUCUUUCUCGACCGAGACUUGGAUAGAUAACCAGUCGACCUUAAAGCAAUGCUGUUUAUCCAAACUGAAGAUGUGUUGGCGAAAAAGAAAAAAAAAUCUCAAGGUUGUUGAGAGGUUUCGCGUAGAACGAGGGUUUGCACAGAGCAGUUUGUACGUUGAAUUGGAGGGGGCUUGAGUGAUGCACUCCACCCUUUAUUUACAGUAGCAAACUUGCUUCUGAUCGAACCAAAACUAUACUUGGAUUAGGACUCCUUACCUCGAUCCAAUCUUAUCUCGGCCAGUCCUACUCCUAUUAGGACUUUGAACUCAACCCCUUAUCAAGCUGUAUUCAUUCCCAAGUUUUAGCAUCCUUAUCCUGCCGGGACUCCUUAUUGUAUCAGGAUUCAACUACCCCAUCCUGAUAGGACACGACCGGCCCCUGAGCAACAUUUUUGGGCCGAGAACAAUUUUAAACUCGGCCCAAACCAAUAUUUUGGGCCCAAACAGACAUCUAUAGCUUCUGCGAGUCAAGGCGGAAACACAAUAACUUGACGCAUAAGGCAGCGGUUAGAGCCAUUAGAUUUGUACACAUCAGUGAGAACAACCAUAAAAUUGUUGGAGGAAUGUAUCACCACCAUGGAUUUAAGCAGACGUAUGUGGAUCUUACCCACCAACAACCAUGAAUCUCACCCAAACCCUCAGAUCUAACGUUAAAUCUAGAGAAAGACCUUGAGAUGAGGCAUGGCUCAGGUCUGGGUAUGAGGCACCAAAGCCAAAGGAUAGGUUACUCACAAAAUGGUGGGAGAUAAGCAAUGAAUGGAUGAGAGGAGAAGGGGGCGCGGCCAUGUAAGCCAAGAGAGGGGUGGCAGGGGAGCGGAGGGGACAUGGUAUGAGAAGAAAAGAAUGGGGGAGGGGGAGGAAGACGGACUAUAAGGGAAAGGUUUGUCACCGACCCCUAGCUGGAGAAAAUGGCUAGAGGCUAAAAUUGCGGAAUUUAAGGUUUCUGGGUUUUGGGAGAGAUAGUUGGGGAGAGAGAAAGUUAAGAUUAUGAUUUUUUUUUAAUGAAGAUACGUUUUUUUGUAAAUAGGAUAAUGAGCUCAUCCCAAACAAAAAAAAAUGCUAAUUAUUUGUAUCAUUACCAUUUUCUUGUACCAUACAUACACACCACAAUAAAUUUGGGCAAAGCCACGAAAUGUUUGGUAACGCCUAGUAACUUGCUUCUUUUACUUACUAGCCACGGCCUCGGGCGACGCAUCACUACCCAAAAAAAUGUUUUAUUCUGUUACAAAAUAAUUAAUCCACGAAAAAAAAUACCAAGACAUAUAUGCACUUGGUACAACUACAAAAUACCAAGUACCUCUUGUUAUUCGUAAAUAUUAUUAUUCCUCUUGGCAUAUAAUUAACUUUUUUUUGGUAAAGGGCAUAUAAUUAACUAGGACCCAAGCUUUAUAUAGCUAUAAAGGAAUUAGAGGGACUUCAUCAUCACAGGCAGUAAUUUCUUGAGCCCUUGACCUUUCUUGGACACAAAUUUGACUGCAUUAGCAUGUUGAGCAGCAGUUUUUUCACUUGGAUAUGAAGAUGGACUUGGAGAAGGAGAAAAAGCGGGAGCAAUAUAAAGAGCAAUCUUUUGACCUUUGGUGCAGUGGCCGGCGAAGGUGCAGGUCAAAUAAUAUGUGUCCGACUGAACAAACUGAAACUCUCCGCCUUCUUGGAAUACAAAUAAGGGGUUGUCCGUGUUGCAGGCGUCGUAAUCCUCCUUGGUUACUAUAGCCAAGUCUUGUUCUCCAACUUUAAAGUUGAAGUCUGCACAAGCAAAUCAUAUCAUCAAUAUCAUCAUCAUGCAUGAUCAUUAUCAUCAUAGCCGUCAUCAUGAUGAUCAGUUACGGACCGGUUUGAUAACAAUAUUUGUGAAAAAUAAAGACUGAAAUUAGUUACUAAAUAAGUUUUCAAUUUAAAAAAAAAAUACAUAAAAUUAAAACUGAAAAUGAAAUGAUUAUCAAACGGCUCCUAAAAUUAAAUAAUAAGUGGAAAGUAAAGAGAAGCUCACUUAUAAAAUCAGUAACGGACAAUCUAUGCUUGGCAGCCCAUGCUUCGUACGUAGCAGCGCCACCAGGAGGAAUAGUCCAACCCAACUCAUCUCCCACUGUAUAUUCUCCAGCUUCUGCUCCAAGUAGCGAUGUUGUGGUAAUCACUGCUAGAACAAGGACAACCACAUUACUCACAUUCAUGAUUUUAACCAUCUUUUAAUUCUCGUGUUCGUGUUGUUUCUUGUACGAAGGAAUUUAGCAGUGUGGUAUUGGGAUGUUGGAGGUCUGAAUUUAUACUGGGGACACUUCUCGGAUUUUAGGAAGCGGUUGAGGGCGGCCGGCCAAAAUGCAUUGUGUAUGACAUCCGGAAAUUGCAAGCUAGCUACCCUAUGUGAGGUGCAGUACAAAUCACUAAUUAACUGGUACGUACGUCCGAAGAUCCGUAUAGGGAUAUUUCAAUGAGCAGGCGUCGAUGUUAAUUAUGUUUGGACUAGAAACAUUUUUUGUGAAUUUUGAGUUCUAUAUAAAACACAAACCUGCAGGCCAUGGCAUUGCUGAUUCCCUUGCACAGAAUUGUGACAAAUAUAACAUUGGCCACCUCAUUCAAUUAAGAAAUAGGGCAUUUUAAAUGGUAAUUCUGGGUCAGUUGUCGACCCUCUAUGUUCCCAAUUUUAUAAGUUCAGGUCCAAUAACUUUUAAAAAUGAGGUUGAAAUAGAAAAGUUGAACCCUAACGCAUAAGCUAAUCAAAGUUCGAAGAGUACUUCUUUUAAAUUAACUCCAAAUUAAUUACCACAAUUUACAUGUAAAUGUCCAUUUUCAUCAUAAAAGUUUAGGCCAAAGUUCUAAAAGACGUUAGGCGCUAGUCGGGCGGCGAGCUGGGGCCUAGUGCCUAGGCGGACUAGGCGGAUUUAAGUAAAUCUAUUAUAUUUUGUGUAAAUAAGUGUCUGUUUAUACUUAAAAUAUAUAUAAUUACUUCAUAAAUUACAAAAUUGAAUGACAUAUAUAUUAUGAAGUCUUGAAACAUAAUGAAAACAUGGGGAACAAGCAUAUAAUGUGUGUUCAUUUAAGUAUCAACAAC
RNAcentral lists this long non-coding RNA (78584 nucleotides) under Malus domestica (apple). Its description in RNAcentral is "long non-coding RNA (MDOM_LNC014641)". Lineage: Eukaryota; Viridiplantae; Streptophyta; Magnoliopsida; Rosales; Rosaceae. The record is from RNAcentral.